RNAcentral lists this long non-coding RNA (59719 nucleotides) under Vitis vinifera (wine grape). RNAcentral's name for it is "long non-coding RNA (VVIN_LNC003449)". Lineage: Eukaryota; Viridiplantae; Streptophyta; Magnoliopsida; Vitales; Vitaceae. The record is from RNAcentral.
CUCCUCGAGGUGGGCACUAGCACCAAUCUAAGCUAAAGGUAGUGGUUUGACCCGGUCCCAUGCCUAAAAGACAGUAAUAUUUUUAUAAGCAUACACAAUUAUUAAUAUCUGUAUGGUGGUGGAGUCUCCUUUUACUUUGAUCAGGUUUUGUAUUCUAUGAGAAGUAUCUCUCAUCCUUCUCUCUUUCUUUUAUCAAUAAAAUUGAUCUUUGUUUCUAAUAAAAUAUAUAUAUAUAUAUAUCUUUAUAAGCAUAGAUCUUGGCACAAAUCAACAUAUUUCACAUUAAAAGCAACAUAAAUCAACAUAUUUCACACUAAAGCAACACCCAUGACACAUUAAAGAGUGAGAACAAUAGGUACCAGAGACUAUGAGUUGCAUGCACCACAAUGAAGAAGGAUAUGAUUGGUUCAUUCCUCCUAACUCUUGCACAAGCAACACCAGUUAGCUAUAGCCCACCUCUCCUCCUUAGCUGGUCUAAUGCCAUAAUUUUUCCCCAAACCACCUCCCAAGUAAAGAAACCCACCUUAUGAGGAUCCUGAGAAACUCAAACUUCUUUGAUUAGAAAAGGAUCUUUAGUAACUAACUCCAAAGAACUGUAGCAGGGUUUUCCAAAGAACUUCCAAUCCUUAUUCAAUUUCCAAACCAACUUGUCCUGGCACUCUUUUUGAACAAACAUGUCUUAAAUUUACUUAAGGAAAGUUUCAACCAUUUCUAUCACCCAAUCUUGAACAUUUCUGAGAAAACAAGGGCUCUAAUGUCCAACACCUCCCACCUCCUCCCAAAGUCCUGUUAGCCAAGCAUCCAUAGAACUGGCAAUGAACUACAAAGCAGGAUACAAGGCUCUCAAAGAAAAAAAAGAGGGGGGGAAAAUCACCACAACACAGGUCAUGUCAAAACCUAACUCUCCAAUGGUCCUACCAUUGCAUACUUCAAAACUAUUCCUAGCCUGAAACUUUGCCUGCCUCUCCUUCCAUAGCCCCACCCCAUACCCUUUCCUCUCUUCACAAGAACACCACCCACCCAUCCUUUCAUCAAACUUAUGUGAGAUCACUCAUCUCCACAAGCUAUCCCACUCCAGAGAAAACAUCCAACAGCAUUUUCCAAGGACCUUGUCAAGUAGCGACAAAUCAGUCAACCAAUUAACUAAAUGAAGUUUUUCAUCCAAAGAGCAAACCCUCUAAAGGAAGUCCUCUGAGCCUUUUCCAAUCUUAAACUCAUCUUUGUUGGGAUAACAAAGGUAGGCAUGAAGUAGACAACCUUUAAACGGGUUAACCCUUGGAGAGAAACUGACAUUCUCAGAAAGCCAACUUCUUAGCAUAUGAAGUUGCUUCUCAGUAUGUGACAAGAUAACUUCUUGAUGAAAAGCAGUGCAUAGUUAAGUAACAAAAAUGCAAAGCAAUACAUCCUGAGAUGUAAAAGUAAAAUGGCUAAAUAAUUUCAUUUGGAAAUGAAUAGUAUCUGUAUACAUAGUGACAAACUGAACAUUAUCCAAGAGUAAAGAAUGAGAUACAAAAAACACAUACAUGAUGGAUUGUUUUGUGAAGGUUCUCCAUCAGUGUGCUGUAUGCUGUGAGAAAAAGCCAGUUUCCAAGGAGGUACAGAACAUAUAAAAUGAUGGUUUGAGAAACGUUUCCACCAGUACUCUGUGUGAUGUUCAAAACUUGGCUCCCUAACAAGAUGGAAAAAGGAGUUGCAAAGAAUGUGUAGAGAAAGUCCUGCAUCAUUGUGCUGUAAUACUGUACCAUCGUCAUUUCCCGUCAUUCAGCUUGCUUUUGAUCUCAGUUUUGACAAUACGAAUCAAGAACAAACCCGCUAGACAUAUUGCAAGGAUAAGCAUAAAAAAUACACUGUUCCAUCCUCUAGUGGAAAUAUAUCCAGCAAGAAGUGGACCAAGAGCUGCGCCAACAGAACCGGUACCAUCUAUAAUUGCAGUGACAGUAGCUAAUGCACGGGAAUUUCCCUUGAUCAAGCUCUGUGUACCAAGAUCAGCAGCGACAGCUGUUGUGAUAAGCGAGUAUGGACCAUUCACAAGCAACCCCGAAAGAAACAUCAACCCAAUGUUGGUGUACAUAGAUAUACUUCCAUAAACCCGGUAUAAAACAAGGGCUGGAAUAGAUAGUAACAAGAAUAUAAUUGAAGUAACAGCUCGAGCUUCAAUCUUAUCCGAAAUGUACCCUGCCAAAAUUCCUCCUAGAACUCCACCAACAUCAAAUAUAGUAGAAAGAAUCCCAGCAGUUUUGUGCGACAGGUGCACACCAGCAACAGCUUCAAUCCAAAACAAUUUUUAAUGGAUCUCGUUAGUUAGUGAUCAAAAGAGUCUCUUUAAGAAGUUAAACCAGGGGCGUGCUUAACACCCCAUGGAAAUUGAUGGCUCUAUUGUGUUUGUACAUAAAUUUACAGAGGGCCAUAAAAUAAGGCAAUUCAAUCUCCAUAAGACAUUCAAAAGCACUUCUAUACAUAGUUAAUAUUGAAAGAGAAAAAGAUUAAUAUACCCGUGUGCCUUAUGUAGAAGGGCAACCAGUAAAGGAAAGUGUAAGCCACAAGCUUGGAGAAGAAGAGGCAAAACGCAAAAGGCGCCACACCUGGUAACCUCCACGCCUCCAAGAACCCAAUUGCACCCGAAGAAUCUGUAACAUCGGAUGGAAGAAGCCCCGCAUCUUCCGAUUCAACUUUCUCUGAAUUUUCCAUAGAUUUAUUGGAUUCUACUUCCACAUUCAUCUCUAUCUCCUUUGCUAAAAGUUCGAAUCCAAGAUCUUCCGGAUUGACAACAAGAAACAUGAAAACAAAAAUUCCAAUGAUAAUGAUCAAAAUACCAGGCAACACAAACGACCACCCCCACCCGAAUUCCAACACCGCCGAUGACACAACUGACCCAACAAUGUUCCCAACCGAAGUAUGCGAAUUCCAUAAUCCCAUUAUCAACCCUCUCUUCUCUUUCCCAAACCAAUUACCCAGAACAGCCACAACACAAGGCCACCCAAUACUCUGAAACAAUCCACAUACAAUUUGCACCCCCACAAAAAACCCUAAUUUAUGAACAUUCAACCAAUCCCCCAACCCGAAUAUAAUUGUUAAAAUUCCACUACCUAACAUUCCAAUCACAAGGAACAGCCGGAGAUCCAACCGAUCACCGGCGUGACCAGAAAAAUACAUCCCAAUUGAAUAUGAAGAUAGGAAUGCGAGAUCGAGCUCGCCGAGACGGUGGGUGCCGUGAGGUCCAUUAAACGGAGCCCAACCGGUGUCGACUGAAGUGGAGUUGGAUUGAAUUUCGGGACUGAGGACGCUUUUGACUAUGCUGGGCGGUUUGCGGGAGGCGUGAAAGGAGGCGUACGCGACGAAGGUGAUGAGGAGAGCUGAGAUCCGAUGGAAAGUUAGGGUUUUGUGAGGGGGCUUGAGGGUUGGGAAGAGAUUAAGGCCAGGGGCUAGGGCUUGGGUGUUAGAUUGCAUUGUGUUUGGAGCCAAAAUUUGUUAAGAAAGAAAGGCAGUUUAAAACAUUUUUGUGCCCCUUUCCCUCAUUUUCCCGAGAAACAUUCAGGAAUUAUGCAGAAAUUACAGGGAAGAAGAUGAUAAUCUCGAAGCCAAGAAAACAUGCUGUGUUUGAUUUUUUGGAGGGAGAAUGCCAGGUUAGUUGGUUUCCGUUUCGUACACCCUAUGAUAUGGCUUAAAUUGAUUGGAGAACAGAUAGGGCAUGUUGUCUUUUUGAGAAACUCCAUGGAGAUUUUAGUAAUUAUGCUCUACCUAUGUGGAAAAGGUUUUCCUGUCAGCCCUUGCCACGUUGUCACGCGCUAAUGAAGGAGGAGGUCGCUCCAGCCUCCAGUAUGGGCUACAUCACACAGGCACCACUCUUUUCCCUUCGGGUUAAAGCAAACCUUUGAGUUGACUUUUGACCUAACGAAAAAUAAAAAAAUAAAAAAAUGAUAAAUGACUAAGCUAGAAGUGAAUAGGAUGUCCUCUGGCGCAUCCUAGUAUUGAAGUCCUGAACCAUAUGAUGCAUUUUCUUCUAUUAAUAACACUUGAACAGAAAAUGUUCCCUUCAAGUUUGCAAACCUACAUUCAUGUGGUUUCAUAACCUACCUAAUGGGCCUAUAACAUCUUUUACUUUGCCGAGAUAUCACAAAAUCAUUUUUAUUUUUUAACUUUUCAACAUUUACCCUAUAUAAUAUCCUAAUCCAACUUCUUACUCAAAUUAAAUUAAAUUCACUUUUAAAAUUAUAUAUUAAUUUUUUACUUAAAAAUAAAUUAAAUUAUUAAAAUUCCUUAAAUAUAUGUAAAAUCCUAAUUCUAAAAAUUUCAUCCUAAUUUUCAACCACCUAAAUCCAAAGUGAAGUGGAUACCAAUUGGAGACCUUAGAGCCUACGAGAGAAGUGUUUUCCAAACUCAGAAAAUAAUUUUAAUAAUUUUUUUACCUAAAACAAUUUUUUGAAAACCAAUUCUAAAAUAAAAUAUUUUCUUUGAAUUAUUUUCAACUAUUUUUAAAAAAUAAUUAGAUAAACAUAUAAUAUGAUUAAAAAUAAAAUAUUACUAAAAAUAAAAAUCACUUUUUAAAAUAUUGAAAAACACGUUAUGUUUAAAAGCUUUCAAACAAACUUUUAUUUCAAAAAUUAUAAUAAACUGUUUUUGAAAACUAUUUUAUAAGAGCCCGUUUGACAAUGAUUUUUAAAAGUGUUUCUACCCUUAAAAACACUUUUAAGUGUUUUUGGGAUGAAAAUAAAGCGUUUGACAAAUUUUAAAAAACACUUUUAAAAAUCUGAAAAAACACUUGAAGUGAUUUUUAGAGAAUCACUUGACAGGUGUUUUUUUUUAAAAACACUUCAAUUUUUUUGAAAUAUUCCAAAAUACCCCAGUGAUAAAUCAAUUAGAAAAAUCUUUUUUUUUUUUUAGAAAUUAAUAGGUGGUCAUAUAUUGUUUUACUUUUAAAAUUAUCUUUUAUUCAAUGUUUUUUAUUUAUUUAUUGAUUUAGAUGUUUUUUGUAAAUAUUUUUUAAAAUUUUAGUAUAGUGAUAAAAAAAUUAUUAUUUUUAAUUAGAAAAGUCUUUUUUUUUUUUUAGAAAUUAAUAGGUAAUCAUAUAUUGUUUUAAUUUUAAAAUUAUCUUUUAUUCAAUGUUAUUUUUUUAGUGAUUUAGAUGUUUUUUCAUUAAUAAAAAGUUUUUUUUGUUUAUCAUACCAUUUUUUUUAAUUAAAAUUGUAUGUCCUUUUUGGUAAUUUAUUAAUAUUAAAAGUGUUUUUAUAUUUAUACAAUAUAUUAUCAAAAACACUUUAGAAUCAUUUUUUCCGAUUAUCAUAAAAGUGUUUUUCACAGAAAUACUAUAGCAGAAAACACUUCAAAUAAAAACACUUCCACUAGAAUCACUACCAAACGGGCUCUAAAACAUUCUCCAGCAUGCCCUUUAAUACCAUCGGGAGCCAGUAAGCUUGCCCAUUCCACUAAUACAUUGGGCGGCGAACUUGAUAAUCAACACGACUGCCCCAUACUUUUAAGUACACCUCUUGACCUUUUCUAUUCAAUCUGGUUGCCAGGUCAAAAGGAGAAAGAACAGAAAAACACAAGGCCUGUGCCUUGGGAACGACUAAAAAAGCAUUAAAUUUCGUAACAAAAAUCCACCUAAGGCAAUUCCGUUGUUUUUUUAAUCCCCGAAUGGCAAUCAGAUGCACAAGUUUUUUGCAUUUGAAUUGAACUUGUACAGCUAACUAUGAUGAAAAAUGUGAGGAAGAGGACCAAAACAUCUGUAACAAAACCCUGCUUGGUGAUGCAGGAUAUCCAGCGAUCAGAAGAUGAGAUUAAACAGAGGAAUGCACUCCUGUCUCCUGACUUAAAUCAUUUGCUGAUGAAGGUCGGCUGCCUGCUGGGCUAGCUCCACCACCAUAGCCUCGUCGAAGAAUUUAUUGAUGCUUACAUCUUCACUCAUACCCUGCCAAAGAAAAUGGAAAUGCAAAAGAUUGGAUUAUAUAUCGUCUUCAGAUGGGUUCAUUAGAUCAUAUUAUUCUGUGUAACUGAAAUUGUCUGUUUGAAAUUCAUGGUUGUAGAAUGUCUUUCCUUCUGCAUGCUGAUGACUACUGAACUAACUUCAUUUGUCGUAAAACUUAUUGUUUGUGUUUCCUUCCACAAAGGAAAGACAUGAAAGGCAUGCAUUUGGCAACAUGCCAAUCAUCCUUGGCCUUUACUUGGAAAGAAAAAACAUUUGACUAGCAACAUGGUUAAAGAAACAUAUCUUAAAAACACCUUCCAAUGCAUAUUACAGCAAAAACCACACACACAUAAAAAGUGCUAUGAAGCACCUUUUCAGAUUCCAUACCUUUCUACGCCUUGUCUUAACCAUGAACUCACGAGCAAGGUGCUGAAUCGGUGCAGGUUCCAGUGGCCGCAGGACAAUACUCUUAUCAAGAGGGUCCCCUGGAACUAUAGCCCAGUGAUCAAACACAGAGGCGCAAAACGCUUGCCCUUGAGUAUGGUACCUCAAGUCUGUCUCAAACCCAAAUGAUUCUAUCACUGGCAAAAAUGCCUGAAAAUAAAUAAAUAAAGACAUUCAAAAAAUCAAGUUGCAAUUAGAUGAGUUUUCAAGCAUGUAUAUCUAGAAAAAAGACUUGGAACAUAUAAACCAAUAUGACCAACAAUAUCAUGCAUUUUACAUGAGAGAUAAAUUGGCAACACAUGUAACAAGAUGGAAGGAAUAAUCCCAACCAUAUGGGGUCAGCUCCAUUUAAUCCAAUUAAUGCUAUUCUAAUGUAUCUUCGAAAUUUAUAAUGAUAAUCUUGCAUAUUGUAUUAUCAAAUUUCUCAGUCAUAAAAAUUGGACUGGCAAGUCGGCUGGCAGUUCCAAGUGUUACUAAUUGUCCUCAAUCUCAUAGAAAACCAUUAAGAUCAAUCAUGAAAAUUUUCCAAACAUUUCCUUCAAAACUGUAACUAUAAAAGCAAAGUACAGCCAUCAAACCUUAACAAUAUAGGCUGGGGUCCCUGGUUGAGGAACAUCAGCUGUAACAUGCCCACGCCUGCGAGAUAAGACAGUGUAGAUUGCAGAGACACAGUCUAUUGGUGUUUGUAUCUGAAACAGAGAAACCAAAUUAAAUAACACAGUGAUGUCAUCAGCCUGAUAAGGGAAAAACACAUUUAAGUCUAAUAACAGAUUGAAACUAAAUAUUCUUUUUAGGGAUGAUUAAAUAUCAACUUGUUUACUGUCUGGAUCUAUGAUCCCUAUGAUUCUAUAUUCAGAUACACCUUCAAGGAAGAAAGACUUCCUUCUUAACUUUUAUGAGAAAUUUCUAUGAACUAGAAAAUUGCACGUUCUAGUUUUAGCAAUAUCCAGAAAUUUCACUUAAAAAAUGAAGCCUAAUUAACAAAUUUUCUACAUUUUUUGAGGCAACUAUGAAUGGUCUUAGGGGUUGGGUUGCUCAAAAGAUAAGUAAUAUGUUCAGUUCCCAUGCCCAGGCACAGUCCAUUUGCAGUCUUUUUUUUUUCCUUGAAUGAUGAGUGGAAAGAGGGGUCAUUAGCCUGCAUUCUUCCUUCAAUAGCUUAAUAUAGCAAAGUAUUUACCUCCACAUAGUAUACAGGUUCCAUAAGUCGUGGAGUUGCCAUAAGGAAUGCAGAGUAGGCCACCCGCCGAGCUGUAGGAAUGAUCUGACCAGUUCCUCGAUGCAAGGGCUCAGGUGCAAUCCUUGCAUCGACUAUUUUGAACUUAACAUUUCUGAUGGGCUCAUCACACAGGGGUCCUUCUCGGGCACCCCAUUGAAAUCUAUCCAGAACAACACACACCCUUAAUAAAAGGCAAAAACAAUAAUAAAUGAAAAAAGAAACUAAUGACAACAUAGUUUACCCUUGAACAAUGGAAUCUUUGACAGCAUUUAGUAAGUUCUUAUCAACUUCACUAGAGAGAGUAUCAUCUAACAAAAUGUUAGGCCCCUGCAAGCAGCUCAUUGGUCAGACAGAAACAUGGCAAUCAUACACAUAAGAGCUAGAUUGGAAAAAGAUUUGCAAGAAGUUAGGAAUAUAUCAAAGGAAGCGGAUGGAAUAACAAGCUGAAGUUAAUUUUUUUAAAAAGGGAGGUAUUGAUUAAACAACAGUAGGGUUGUAUCACUGUUAGAAGUUGAAACUUUUGCCAAGUACAUUACCUGCUUAUCUGGCCCAAAUGCCCAUAUGGACCUUGCAGCCAGCAAAUCCCAGUCAUAUUUUGUUUGAAAAAAGUCACCAAGUUUCUUUCGAUGCCAAUCAAUGCUUACAACACCAUUCUCAAUAUCCUCCGCGAGUCCUUUCUCCAAUGGCUCUGCAAUCUAGCAAAGAAAAAAACACAAAAAAAAAGGUUGUUUAAAUAAUUAAUAUACUGCAUAAAAUUGAAUCAUAUAUGAUUCUUGAUAGCCCCAGGAUCAAGGGAAGGGAAAAAAAAGGCAAUAGAUGACUUCCCUACCAUGGUUAUUUUAUUCUUCUUGUUGGGUGUUUCAGCAAAACAUUUCAUUGAUGAAGACUCCACCACAGUUUCACAAAAUGAUACAACAGGAUCUGCCACCUAUAUUUUAAGUAAAGCACAAGAAGCAAAAGCAUGCUCAUCAACAAAAGGCACAUCCCUCCAUCGAAAAGGCAAAAAGGGUACUCACAUGAAAGUUAAGAUCAACCAUAAAUCAAAUAAGAGAUCGAUGUGAAAUAGAUACCUUGACUUCAACUUCAGAAUACAGCUCUCUAAGGUCCUUCAUGAUAGAAUCCAAAUACAACUCCCCAGUACCUAAAAUAGUGUGUUCUCCAGACUCCUCAACUUUAGUAAUUGCUAAAGGAUAGCUCUUACUGAUCUUCCUAAGACCCUCCACCAUUUUGGGCAACUCACUUGGAUUUAAAGGCUCAGUAGCUGUUUUAACUACUGGAAGAGUAUUAAACAGAAGAGGCCGAAAUAUGUAUACAUCCUCAUCAUAAUCCAAAUUACAAAGUGUGGCAGUCUUCAUAAUUGAAGCAUCCACACCUUCAAUGAGAACCCAAGAACCAGGAGGAGCCUUGCUUAUGGGUAUUCUGUAACGAGCUUGAUAAACCCAUAAUUUUGUAACUUCCUUUACUGUCAUAUCCUCUUCGUCUUCUGGUGAAUAGCCUUCUCCCAGCACACGUAAAGUCUGCCCUGUUUGGAUUUCACCACUAUAAACCCUACCAAAAGCAUCAAAAACACUGCAAUCAGACUUUGGAUACAGUUUAGUCACAUUAACCAUUAGAGGACCAGAAGAAUCACAAUCUUCCAUGGCCUGGUAUAUUGCAGAAUCUUUGGGUCCAGUAUAAAUAUGAUCAACCUUCUUAGCUGCAGCAUCUUUGGCAGAAGGAAUAUGCUGAACCAGCAUAUCAGUGAAACCUGUCGCUGAACCAAAGACUGAGCUACAGGCCAACCUCAGCAAAGGCCUAACAUUUAGUUUGUAGGCUGCAUUACUGAGAGUGACACCCAGUUCUGCAAGGGUACUCUCCACACUCUUCUUAUGUUCUCCAAUUACUUGGCUAUAUAUCUUGUAGAGGGGCUCAAGCACAAACUGGACAAAUGAUCUUUCCCCUCCACUUGCAGGCGGUUUCUUCCUGAAAACCCUAGCAUCAGGAUGAUAAUACAUAUCUCCCCAAAGCCGAGAUGCAAACUUAUUGGCAUCAAAUGGGACGCCAUGGAGUUUGACAUAUAGUUUAGCAAAUGAUUGCAAAGUAAAAGACCAUCCUGCACUAGCACUAGCAAAACAGACAUUUCCAGCAGCCGGGUCUAUGAUUUGGACAUUUCCUGCAGUUGAUGAGGCAGCAGAUAUGUGAUUAUUGAUGAGUUCCAGAGUAUGCCUUAGCUUAUGAUAAGCAUCCUUUGGGGGCAAUUUGAGUUCAGUGAUCAGCCUGUCAACCUUGAAAAAAUAAGAGAUUAAAAUAAAUUAAUAAAAGAGAAUACAAGGAAGUCUAUGAAGUGCUCUGCUUCGUAGAGUUGAUUAAAAUGGUACAAAGAAGUUUUGACCACCAAAACAAAGGGUUAAAAGGUACCUUAUUGAUUACAACUACAAUAGGAAGGCGCUCUUGGAUUGCAUGGCGUAUAGCCCUUUCUGUAUUUACCUGUGCACAAAAGAAUUAUCGAACAUUUCAUGUCAUUACAAUCUCUCUCAAAGCAACUGCCAAAGCCAUUAAUUCAGGAAAAGGACAGAAAUGAGCAUAUUGGAUAAUCAAUAUGAACGGGUUGAACAUAAUUCUUCUUUAAUGAGAAAGUUUACCUGCUUCCUAUUAGUAAUUUGGUUCUAACUAUUCUCUCACUAAGGUAAUCUAAGCCAGGCCCUUUUAAUAUUAACUAGGUCGAUUAAACCUUGAUUUCCACAACUGGAUACAUUCAUCACUUGGGUACAGACAUCUAUACUUAUUCAACAUGGUAUUAAUCAUAUAUCUCUAUUUUGACUUAGUUAUGGAGUUUGCAUCUCUCUCUAUCUUUAACUUCAAAUUGUCUUUCUUCAACAUUCCUUUAUUUUCAGAACUUACUUUUUUUCUUUUUUUUCUUUUUUUUUCCAGGUGAUAGGCCAUAGCUUACUUUCAGUUAUCACCCUCAUUAAUAUUAAGCUUGUUCCACUAAGUCUGAUAAAAACAGGGAGAAGCAAAAACAACUAUCUUAAUUACAUGCAUCCUCCAACAGCAGGCAGAAACACUCAAAGUUGGGGUCAAAUAAUUAAACCUGCAUAUAUCUCUUAACUUUUAUUCCACUACUCGACCUAUAAAUUAUCAAAGCUAAAGUUCUAAUAGACUUGACACUUUUGGAAUUCCCCAAUCAAAAAAACAAAACAAUAAUUUCUUAGUUCUGAUGGGGAAUAAUUAAUAUGGAAGGGCUUUAAAGAAGAAGAGGUAUUUGGGUAAUACAUGAGUAAAGAUAGGCAGUAUGAACCUAAAACUAGGUUGAAAAGCUUUGUAGGUAAGAAACCAAUCAUAGAAGCUUACAGCAGAAGUUCAGAUUGAGUCAUAUCUAUUUUGCACUGAUUAUAGAUAAGUUAGUUGAGCAUUUAUGUGUUGGUGACAUCUACAAUACUAUGUUAAAGGAAGAGGUGUCCAAUCUACACAUCCACAAUUAGUGACCUGGCAUAAAUUCCACCUCCAAUUAAAAGAUAUGGAUAUAAUGAUUUUAUAGGAAGUACAGGUGAAACACUGGAAUCCAUUAUUACUAGGGUAGAGUGGAAGGAGGGAUGAACUCACAAGACCGCCACUCAUAAAAUUUUCACAAGAGCACAACGUAAGGAAUGUGCUCAGUUGUACAUUCCAAUUGACAAGACUAGGAAAAAUACUAAUGAAAAGUUAUAACCAUGUAAGGAAGCUUUAAAAUAAAAUAAAAAAAGCUGUGAGAAAAUAACUAAUGUGGAAAAUGUAAUAAAAUUACAAAAAUAAGUGCUUUUUUGGAUACACUUCAUGUUUUAUUGUUUUUAAACAAAGAAAAUAGUAGUUUCUAUCCCUUUUACGCAUCCCUAAAUCUGUUACAAAAAGGAUUGAGAAAAUCCAAAGAGAUUUCCUUUGGGGGGGAGGAAGUUUGGAGAGGAAAGCUCACUUAAUUAAGUGGAAGGUGGUUUGUAGCCCUAAGGAGGAGGGAGGAUUAGGCAUCCGAAAAAUAGAUGUAUUGAACAAAGCCUUGCUGGGCAAAUGGGUGUGGAGAUACGCCUAUGAGAAGGAGAAUCUAUGGAAAAGGGUGAUAGGGGUGAAAUAUGGUCAAGAGGGGUGUGGGUGGAGGACUAAGGACGUUUGUGGGCCUUAUGGAGUGGGACUGUGGAAGGAGAUCAUGAAGGAAGCUGAUUGGUGCUGGGAGAGUAUUGUGUUUAAGGUAGGCAAGGGGACCAGAAUUUUGUUUUGGAUGGAUAAGUGGUGCGGUAAUGAGGCCCUUUCUCAAAUUUUCCCUCAGCUGUUUACUUUGGCGGGUCAUAGGAAUGCCAAAGUAAGUGAAGUGUGGGACUCUAGCCUGGGUCAAGGAGGUUGGAAUCUCAGAUUGGCUAGAGAUUUCAAUGAUUGGGAGCUGGAACAGAUAGGAAAUAUGCUGAAUCUGCUGAAGGAUUUCAGGACUUCGACUGAGGAGGAUGCUGUAAGAUGGAAAAGGGAAAGCAAUGGUGUUUUCGGGGCUAAGGGUGCUUACAAAAUGUUGGUUGGGUCCUCAGCCUGUGUCUUCCCGAACAGACGCAUUUGGAUGAAUAAGGUGCCAACAAAAGUAUCUUUUCUUGCUUAGGAAGCUUCGUGGGGGAAGAUCCUCACCUUGGAUAAGCUUCAAAGAAGGGGGCGGCAGCUCCCUAACCGGUGUUUUCUGUGUGGAUGUGAAGAGGAAAAUGCGAAUCAUAUUAUGUUACAUUGUACAGUGGUUAAGACUCUUUGGGAGAUCGCUCUCGCCAUUUUUGGAGUCCAAUGGGUGUUCCCAGAAUCAGUUAUAGAAGUGUUACUUAGUUAGAGGGGUUCUUUUGUGGGGAAAAAAAGAAAAGACACCUGGAAUUCCAUUUCGUUGUGCAUUUUUUGGACGGUUUGGAAGGAAAGGAAUAGGUUAGCUUUUAGGGGGGGGUCUUUAGAUAUACAAAAAUUCAAGAAUUUUUUUGUAUGUAAUUUGUGGAGUUGGGCUAGGGUGUAUAUUGGUGAGGAUACCUAUUCUCUUUUAGGCUUUUUGGAGUGGCUUGCGGUCACUUGAGGGUGGGUGAGGUUUUCCCUCUUUUUUGUUCAGUUCGUCUUUUUGGGCAUUUGUGUAUACCCCCUGUAUACAUGCGGCUUUUUAGCCUUUUCUAAUAUAUUCUGACUGUUUAUCUAUAAAAAAAAAAAACAAAGAAAAUAGUAGUAAUUUUCAUGUAAAAUAUAACAACUCUUAUAUGAAAAGUAUAAACCUACCUCAUGUCUUUAAAAAUUACUUUGUAAAUUAGAGGUAGGUUUAUACCUCAAAGCGUAAAAUCCAAAAUCUUUUUAAGGCAAGUCUCAAAGAGUUCUUGCAUUUUAGACAGAAGUUACCAUUGUUUUCCUUUUGAAAAAAUAAAAAACAAGAAGUGCAUCCAAAAGACACCUAAAUAAUCUGAUGUUAGAUUGACGUCUACAAGAAAUCCAGGAGCAACUAUUUGCAUUAUUUUCUUUUCAUACAUGCACAGUGAUUGAUGAAUCAAAGAGAACAUUCCUUGAAGAACUAAUGCUAUAUGAAUGAACAAGAGAGUUAUGACACAACUAUGAAUACAUCCUGUGUACUUGGAUUGCACCUUUUUUUUGCUAGGCCCCUUCUAAUAAAUCAUUUUUCUAUCAAAAAGAACUACAAUCAUAAAAUCCUCAAAUUUCAAAUUUCUAAAUGUUGCAGCAUGUCAGCCUAAAAAGCACGAGAAUAAGAUGAAUUGAGUACAAAAACUAGAAGGAAUAGAUAUUAAGUCAUUUCCAGCAGAAAUGGGGGCAAAAUAAAGGCCAAUGAUUAAACUAAUUAUGAUUGAAAUGGUUAAAGUAGCAAGUACUAUGAACAGAGGGAAGGUCCAAGGAACGUAAAUCUUAAGAUAGUGCAAAAGAACCUAGUGGCCUACCAUUCUUCAAGAAAAAAUGCACACAAGUCACAACGUAUAAAGAUUAAGAUUCUGAUGGUUGAUGACGUAUGGUUGAGAUUUGAUACCAGAAUAAGAUGCAUACAUAACAUGCCUCAAGCUCAAAACUUUUCAGUGGGUAUGAGGGGUUGCUCAGUGUUUCAUGCGGCACUUUGUUAUUGGGCAAUUUUCUGUGUGUUUGCACGAGUGCCAUCAUGUGUUUGGCUUCCUCAGAAUUUAAAAAAAAAAAAUAGCAUACCUGAAAAGAAACAACAGAAGCAGCCAAAGAAAAGGGUCACUUACCAUUACUCCUUCAGCAGCAUCCACAAUCAAGACAGCACCAUCGGCAAGUCUGAGAGCAGCAGUCAUCUCAUCAGAGAAAUUUACAUGACCUGGAGUGUCCAUGAUGUUACAAAGAUAAGAUUUUGAAUUGCUAUCCUCAAGAACAAGUGACAUGGGAACAGCCUUAAUUGAUAUCCUUCUCUCUUGCUCAUCAAUCCUCGUAUCUGUGUAUCUCAUGUGCUUCUCACUAUUUGAAUCAAAUGUUGAAAUAUGGUGUGUUUGCUCAACCAGCAUGUCCAUGAAUAGUGUCUUUCCAUGCUGUAAAUGUCCGACCAGAGCAACAUUCCGAACCAAAGCUGGGUUUGACAUAAGACCCAAAAGAAACUGGGUUGACACAUAUGUCGACGAAUCCUUCACUCCCAACUCAAACUUAAUAUUCCUAACAGGUUUGAUUAUUGGUUGUUCAAGUGGUUGCUCAUCUUCAUCCAUUACCAAGGUUUCAACAUCUUCACCAUAGACUUCUUCAGCAGUAGGAUAGUACUUUUUGUCUUCAGCAAGGACAAUCUGGUUGUCCAUGUCAACAUCAUUAGAUGCAGUUAUCCACCCAUUAGAGGCUGCAACUGCAUCCUCAACAUCAGAUACCAUUUCCUCUUCAUCAGGCUUGUCAGGGAUGUCCUCAUCUUGAUCAUCUCCAUCACUUUCUCUGUCAGACUCAAUUUCUGGUCCAAUGUAGUUUCCAAAUUCAUCAUAUAAACUGUCAUCCAUGGUUCUUUCAAAUCUGCCACAUUGUAUAACCAAUUAUUAGUAUGGAACAGCAACCACCCAAUCAAGAAAGAGUUGUUUAGGGCAAUGUUCGGUUCACAAUCAUCAAUGGUCUUUGCCCACUUAAGACCAAAUGUUCUCUUAGAGCCUAGGCACGACAGGGAAGCCCAUGGCAUGGGCUCGAGUGAAAUGAUGCAACAUUAAUUAAUGUAAUUUUAUAAAAUUUAAUACGCUAAUACUUGUUGCAUACCAUAAAAAAAUAAGAAAAAAAUAUUCUCAAGAAAUUCAGGGAAAAGAACAUUUCAGUAAUUUCAUGAAGAGUUUCAUUGAAUAGUCUCAGUAAUUUCAGUUUUUAAAAAAUGUAUAAGAAAAAAGGCCAAAGUUUCCAAAGAGUGCACAUGUGAGCUAAAAACAGCCAAGUGUCCAGAAAAUGCAAAAUCAUCUAAGAAAACUUAAGUGAGAAAAAUUAUAAAUAUGUCAUAAUGCAAAUUGUACCAAAAUUUUAAAAGAAAAAUUUUCCAAAAUAUCAGGAAAAAAAAUCUCAAAAAGACAUUUCAGGAAAAAUUAAAAGAGAAAACGAAGAAGUAGAGCGACAAGUGUGUGCAGUGUGACGAAGUAAGAAACAAUGAAACAGAGAGCGUGUCGGAGCGAGUGGUGCAGUUGGGACUUGAAAGUUGUUGGUAUCUUCUCCUCCCCCAAGGAGGAGCAGAAGAGACUUGCAGGAAGAUUAGGAUUAGGGUUACUUUUUACAGAGAAGAGAGAAGAAAUUAAAGAAAUGUCGGGGUUUGGAUCUUUCACCUUUUCUCAAUUUGACCCAAAAACGAAAAAUGAAAUGGGUUUUUGAUUUGGUGAAUCCUGCAUCUGGGUUUCUUUUCUGAUCAAUUUUCCAGUCAUAUUCAAGAUGGCAAACAAUUCAAGGGUUUUAACCUAAAUACUACAAACCAUCAAACAGCUGAUACUAGAAUCAAAAGAAUAACCCGUUUUUGGAUUUUUUUUGCGCAGAAAUUGAAUUAAAAUUACCUAAUCCUUACAGACACGUAUACAUCCAGAGAAAGAGAUAUAGAGAGUACCUGAAGAGGGAGUUACAGGAAGUGAAUCCAACUGAGUGUUCAAGAGUAUUGAAACGAGAGGGUUUAUAGAGGGGUUGGCCACGGCGCGGCUGUCAAGAGGAAUUGGGCCUACACCUGGCUAGAUAAAGCUCGAGCCAUGUAGGUUGGACUGAGUUUGAGCCCAAUGGGCUCGAGUAUGUUGGCCUCCGGUGGCUUACUCUCUGUUUGGAAACUAUUUGGCACUGUACCUUGAAAACAAUGUUCUGUCGAACUUAUGACAAAAAAAUUAAAAAAUAAUAUUUAUUUAUUGAAUACAAAUGUUUAUAAAAUUGAUGGUAUUAAAAUGCUGUAGCAAAAAUAUAAUUGUUGGAAAAAAAACCACAUAUGAAGCAAUUGUCAAAGAAUCAUUUAAGUAAUUACUCAAAUCUACUUCAAAUGAUUAUUUAUAUUUUUAAAAUCAAAUUUAAAAACAUUGUUAUAAAAAACAACUUUUAAACAUUAGGAAAUGUAUAUAGUAUUUACGAAACCAUUCUCAAAUAAACUUCAAUUACCUAUUAAUAUUAACUAUUAUAAUUUUAGAUUAUUUAUUUGAUUUCAUCGAUACCACAAAAUCAUAUUUGAAAAGUCGCAGUAUGUUUCUCAAUUGCCAUUUAAUGGAAAAAGGUUUUGAAUUAUCUUAUAAAAUGCCUAAAAUCUACAUUGGUUGUUCACGGAUGAAUUCUUUUUUCAAGUAGCGAAUGAAAUUACAAAAAAUUGAGAACCAUUAUAUUUUUAUGAUACAAAUGUCUUAACCUUAAGAAAAACAGAGAAAAAAUAAAUAGAUAUAAUUCAAGAGAAAAAACUUUUUUUAAAGAACUCUAUUCAUUUGACUUUUGUCAUAUAAAGAGUGUGUGAGAAAGAUUUUUUUUUUAUUUUAUUUUUUUGUAAUUGUAUAAUAGCAUUUUUGUGUAAUUUUAAUUUCCAUAAAUUGUUUCAUGUUUCUUAUUUUGUUGGAUCGAGUCGAAUCAGUCCACAUGAGCACCCAAACCCAACUCCAACACCAUUAAACCCAUUUUUACAAUCAAUGAAGAUAAAAAAUUAAAUUAAAAAUAAUGAUUGGUAAAAUUAAAAAUUUUGAUAAUGAAAAUGUAUAAUAUAUAAAAUUUAAAAAAUGUUAACUUAUAGAAAAAUUAAACUCAUAGUAAGCUAAUAAAAUAAGAGUAUAUUCAUGUUCUUAAAUCACCUAUAAGAAGUGUAUUUAAUCUUCAACCACAAGUCAGCAAGACUUUAAUAUUACUUCUUUUUUUUUAUCACGUUUUGAAAAAAUAGAAAUAUAGUAAUGAUUACUCCAUGCUAUCAAUUACUAUACAUACAUAUAAUUAUUUACUUAAUUUGGAUUGGAGUUGCUUUAUUUUCCCCCAUACCUAACAUAGAUCACAAAAAGGCCUGCCUUAACCCUUCCAAGAUUGGAUUAAAUUCAGUUAAACCUGUUCAAAUUACAUCCUUAAUUGAUUUAGAGUAUUAUUGACAACGAUUUUAAGAAAUGUUUAUGGUAUUUAUAAUUUUUAAAAGAUAAAAUUUUUUAAGUAUUAAAAAUAUAAAAAUACUUUUUAAAAUUAAUGUUAAAUGCAUUCUUAAAAUUUGUUUAAAAAUGUUAGACAAUUUGUCUAAAAAGUAUUUAAGAAAAAUGCUUUUUAUUAAAAACAUUUUGAGUAGAAAUGAAAAUUUUUGUUAUGGAGUACAUUUACCCGAUCAUCAUCAAUUGUUGAGCAAAAAAUUUAAUGACUUGCUCAUGUCAUAAAAUACGGUAGUCAUGAAAAUAUUAAUAAAUUAUUUAGUUGAAAACAUUAAUUUAAUGAUUUGAAAUGUUACAUGAAUUAUUUAACAGGGACAUACCACCUACAAUCAUAUUAAAAAUCAUGAGAAAUAUUUGAUAAGUAAUUUGUCUAAAAACACUUUAAGAAAAACACUUUUUAUUAAAAACAUUUUGAGUAGACAUAAGGUGAAAAUUCCUUUUAUGGAUUACAUUUACCCAAUCAUCAUCAAUUGUUGAGCAAAAAAUUUAAUGAUUUGCUCAUGUCAUAAAAUACGAUGGUCAUGAAAAUAUUAAUAAAUUAUUUAGUUGAAAACAUUAAUUUAAUGAUUUGAAAUGUUACAUGAAUUAUUUAACAGGGACAUACCACCUACAACCAUAUUAAAAAUCACGAGAAAUAUUUGAUAAGUAAUUUGUAUAAAAACACUUUAAGAAAAACACUUUUUAUUAAAAACAUUUUAAGUAGAAAUAAGGUGAAAAUUCCUUUUAUGGAUUACAUUUACCCAAUCAUCAUCAAUUGUUGAGCAAAUAAUUUAAUGAUUUGAAAUGUUACAUGAAUUAUUUAAAAAGGACAUACCACCUACAACCACAUUAUAAAGUUUGGAAAAGAAUGUCCAUCCAUUGAACAAUGGAAGAAAGUGUGCCACCAUAGAAAACAUUAAUAAGCUCAGUCAUGAAAAUAUUAAUAAAUUAUUUAGUUGAAAAGUCCAUUCUUCCUUGUGUACGCUCAAAGGUCUUAGGUUUGAUGAGUUAAAUUUUAUUUUAUAUCUUAGAAUAAGAAGUUAAAUUGAAAAACCGAGAAUGAGAGAGAAGAGGAAGCCACAAACAUGGCGGUCGCUUCUCACAUUUAUUGUAACACACUUCACACACAUACACACGGAUGAAAGUCCUAGGCCACCACGUGUCACAAAUCACAGAGUCUGAGGGCAUUAUUUAGUAUUUAGUAUUUACUACAACACAACCCAGAAAGCAAAAAAGAGAAUUACAAACACAACCCUCUCAUUCAGCUGCUGGCCGUCACGUCCCUCCAUUCACAUUAUGACUUGUAGGCACGAGUCUCAAGGGUGGGUGGUUAGCGACUUACCAGGGGCGUUGGGGAGGGCCAGGAGGACCGGGAGGACCAUAAGGCCCCGGAGGCGGAGGGCCAAAGGUACCUGGCGGACCCGGGGGUGGCGGACCAGGGGGUGGCGGACCAGGGGGUGGCGGACCCGGGGGUGGAGGUCCCGGGGGCGGCGGCCCGUGGUGGUGUGGGUCGUGUGGUGGAUGAUGCAUCUUCUCUUCUUCUUCAAGGAAGCUGUGGUGUGGCGAAGGGGUUGGAGGGGGCUUCUCAAUUUAUAAUGUAGGGGAUGUGUGAGAAGUGGGAAAUGAGAUGAAAGGCAGCUUAAUUCAUCCUAUGUUUAUCUUUUUUAUCUACAAGUCAAACUUUGAUUUCUUUGAUUUUUUAUUAUUUUUUAGACGGUGUCACCUACUAUUCUAGAAGGCAAAGGGAAAUUGACAUCCAAAUUUUAUUUUCAUUUUAUUUUUUUGCCUCACGGCUCGGGCAUCUAUAAUUAUUUAUUUAUCAAUGUAGAAAAUCCUUGUGGGGAUAAAAGACACGUGAGUUCUGAUGGGGCGGGCCUCCAUCCCCGCAAUUCAAUCUCGCAUUCGCAUUCAUGUAUUAGGGUUUUGGACCACAAUAAUUAAUUAAAAAAAAUCAUAUUUAUAAUGACCUGUAAAAUAAUUCUCAAUUUAAUCCUUUUUUUUACAUGAAUUGUCACGUUCAUAAUUUUUAUUUUUAUUUUUGAGGUGCUUUCCAAUUUUUUAAUUUAAAAAUGACCUCGUUGAACACGUGGUCAGUAUGAAUUAAAUUAUAUAUUUUUAAAAUUCAAAUUAUAUUUAUAAUUAUUCCAAUCUUAUUAUGUAGAUAUUAUCCCAUUUGAAUCAAAAGUGGACAAUAUUUACACAAUUGUAUAUUGAGGAUUUGAUUGAUUCAUGAAGAGUAUUUGUUUACUUGACUUUAUAAUUUUUAAGAAAUGACAAAAACAUUAUGUUUGCAUGUGAUGUUCGUAAUAUUUCACAUAGGAUUGAGAAGGAAGUUAUUAAUUCUAUAUAAAUAUGAAAUUUUCUUAAUCAUGUAAAUGUGUUAUAAAGUUACAAGAAUCCUGUCAUCCUUAAAGAGGAUAAUGCUUACAAAUGUUUCAAAAUUAAUUUUGACUUUGUAGGGAGUGUUUAUCUUUUUGUGAAAAAGGAAAAUUAAAACUCUUUUUUAAAAUAAUUUUAUGAUAUUAAAAAUUAGAAAUUUGAAAAAUAAAAAAUAAUGUUUUGAGAACUUUUGAUGAAAUUAGGAUAUUUGAAUUAUUUUUCUUGUUUUAAUGAGAUUAUUUUUAAAAAUAAUUAUAUAAAUAUAAAGAAUAAUUUAAAAUAAAUUAUUGUAAAUAAAAACUAUUUUUAAAAAUAUAAAAAGAAUAUUUUAAGUGUUCAAACAAAAAUUUGUUUGGUAAACAUCAAAAUUUUGUUUGAAAAGUGUUUUUGAGUUCUAUUCUGAAAAUAGUCUUUAAAAACUAUUUUAUAAUCUUUCUAAAACAAAAGUUUCUGUUUUGACAGCUUGAAAGUUUGAAACACGGAAUUGCAGGCUUAUGCCCUACACGAGCAGGGGAACCUUCUGGAACUCGUGGACCCAAUUCUCGGUUCUAACUACUCUGAAUUUGGAUUUCUUAUGCACCAGCCCAUCUCCCACUCUCAGGCCAAAUUCCGCGUCUUCUGUAGUGAGCACGCUCCAAGGCAAAAUCGCUGUCCAAGCACCAAUAGCCAAGAGGAGCUCAAUGAACCAGGACAUGAGGUUCAAAGCCUUUGAGAGGCUGUCACAGGACAUAUCAUAUUAUGCUUUAUUUUCUUCUUUCAAUUUUUCCUCUGCUUUCUCUGCUACCAAACAAUGGCUUAUAUCAUUCUGCUGGAAAUUCUUUGUCCCUCUAUGCCAUAGCGAACUUGAUCUGAACCCAUAAUGUUUAUGGCCGAGUUGGAAUUCUGGGUAUUUAUUUUUUUCCUUUCUUUAAUUGGUUUGAAACCGGCACUGAAGCCGUAUUUUCAAAUUUUGACUGUUACAUAGGUUUUAAAGCCGCAUUUCCAAGAUGAGUUUUCUCAAUUAUGUAAGGGUUUGUUUGGAAAGUAUUUUUUAGAAUAGUUUCCUGUUUUUCAGAACGAAAAAACAAAGAAAAUGUGUUUGACAACCAUAAACUAUGUUAUGUUUUUUAUUUUUAAGAAUUAAAAAUAUAGUGUUUUAAAAAAACAUUUUUAAUUAUUUUAUAUUAUUUUCAUUUAAUUUUUUAGGGUUAUUUUAAAAAAUAAUCAUACAAAUAUGUCAAAUAUAUAGAAUAAUUAAAAAUAAAACAUUAGAUAUAAAAACAUAUUUAAAAAUAUUAAAAAUAGGUUAAAAUCAUUUUAAGUUUCACAUAGACUUAUGUUCUAUAAGAAUCAUAGAACAAUUUUUUAAAAAUAUUCAUAAAAACUAUUCUUCAAAAUUAUUUUGAAAAAUAGUUACCAAAUAGACUUUUGUCCUAGAUAUGAAAAAUCAUAUAGUUUUUUAUAAAUUGUUUUUAAUUUUUUAUUAUAUUUAUUAUUGUUAUUUUUAAAAAUAAAUUAGUUUAAAAAAUUAAGUUUCCUUAAAUACAAUAUUUACAUUUAUGAUGUAAAUUGAAAUCGAUAUUCAAAAUUUCAUAUAUUAAUUUUCCUUUUGCAAUGAUGUAAUUUCUUCUUAUUUAUUGAAUUUAUAAUUUUAUCAUCUAAUUAUAUAAAUAUAUAAAUUGAGAUCUCAUAUUACUAUGAUUCUAAGUCAUGUGAUGAAAAUAUUUUAUUUAGUUGCUUUAAUUUUAGAAAACUAUCCAUUCUUUCUAUUAAUUAUUAAAUAUUAAUUUCAAAAUUUUAUUUUUAGUAUUUAGUAAAAAACAAAAUAUUUUGACUUUUUCUAUUCAUUCAGAUAAAAAGUUAUAAAAAUAAGUAAUAAAUAAUAAGUUAAAAACAAACAAUUUAAUGUUUGAAAGCAAAUUACAUUCCAAUUAAGUUAAAAAACAAAUACCACUUCGAUAUUUGGUAAAAUUUAAUCCUUAUUAUUUAAUGACUUAAGUCAAAUUAUUCUUAAUAUGUUAACUUAAAAUUUGUUACUUACUUUUUUUUUUAAUCAUUAAAAUUGUUCGAUGAAAUUAACUUCAAAUUUAUUUUUAUUCCUCAAAUUAAUAUAAUUACUUUUGUUAAUUAUAAUUAAUAUUAAUCUUCAUUCAAUUAACUAAUUUAUUUUCAUUAAUUUUAAGCAAGACAUUUCUUUAUAAAACAUUUAUAUUUAAAGUAUUGAUAAAUAAGAUAACCAUAAAAGAUUUAUUAUAAAAAAUGAAUCAUAAAUUUGGAAUUAUAAUUUUAAAAUAUAUUCUCAUUAACAUAUGCAAAUGAAAAAAAAAAAGAUUUUGAGAUUAAGAAUAAGUUAAAUAUUUUGACUUAGUACUUAAAAGUUAUAAUAUUAAAUUAUUUUACCAAAUAUGAUUAAUCUACUUAAUGACUUAAAUUAAGUUGUCAAGUCAUUAAGUAAUUUAUCAAACACCUUGUUGACUUUAAACUUAUUGUUUAUUUUUUAUUUUAAAGUAUUAAGGUUGGUUGGUGAAAUUAACUUAAAAUUUAUCCUAUAUCGUCAAACAUAUUUACCCUUAUUAAUUUUAACUAAUAUUUAUAUUUUCAUUCAUAUUAAGAUAUAAACUUAUUCAUUAAAAAAAUCAUAUUUGAAGUAUUUUACAUAUAUAAAAUAACUACAAAAUAUUUACAUUCAAAAGAUGAGUUUCAAAUAUAGAGUUAUACUUGUAAAAUAUGGAAAAAUGAGAUAAAAAAGAUUUAAGAUUAAGAAUAAAUUACUUAUUUUAACUUACACUUUCUUCUUCUUCUUCUUUUUUUUUUUUUUGAAAUUUAAGUAGUAAUAUUAAGUUAUUUUCCAAAAUAUAUUUAAUUUACUUAAUGACUUAAAUUAAUUUAUUAAGUCAUAUUAAGUCAUUAAGUUCAUUUAUUAAACACCCUCUUAAAAUAUAUUUAUUUAUUUAUACUUAAAUCUAAAUAGAACUUAAUUUUAAAUACAACUUAAUAAUAUCAAAUAUUAAAUUAUUUAUUUUUUAUUAAUUUAUUUUUAUUAAGUAAUAAGUAUUAAUAAGGUGAGGGUCAUGCUAAAAUUGUGUUUUAAUUGUUUUGAAAAGUUAUUUUUAACGUUCAACAAAAAGUCAAAAUAUUUUGAUUUUUUCUAUUCGAUCAUUUUUAAAAAAAUAAGUAAUAAGUUAAAAAAAAAAUCUAAAGUCUAAAUGCAAAUUGCAUUAGACAUUAAGUUAAAAAAGCAAAUACCACCUUGAGCUUGGAACUUAUUAUCAAACUCAAAUAGUUAAUUUCUAAUGCUUUUUGGUUUGCAUGCCCAAUUUUAAGUUAGGCAUUUUAUAUUUUUCUUAACAAAAAAAAUUAUUUUCUAAAUUAAAUUGAAUGACAUUGGCCUUAAACAAUUUAGUUAGUUAUUGUCUAUGAAUCUAAUUGGACUGAACAACAUGAUUUUCAUUUGAGAUUUGGUCAGUAUGAUUCUCAGUGCAUAUAAACCAAUUACAUUAAUUUGAUUAGAUUUUAGUUUUCAAUGUGAAAUAGUUAUCAUUUGUAGUGAAUUUGAGGAAAUAGUAAUUAUUUGUAGUCAGGGAUAUUAGUUAAUGUUCAAAAUGAGAGACUAAUUUGUGGUCUUAGAAAAUGAGAAUAAUUUUUGUCAAGUUUUUAUUUAUUUAUUUAUUUGGAUAACCCAAAUGCCAAAAAUAUAUGUUCAUUUCAAUAUUUAAUAACAAUAAAAAUAAAAUUAGAAAAUAAACGCAUUUUUAUUAUGGUUACAUUUUACAUUUUACUAAACUUUUGCCCAUUUUAUUACUAGCCAAAAUAAAAUAAAAUGUAUUGAAAAUUAUUAUUAUUAUUAUUUGUGGUUUUCUCAAUAAUAAAAUAGAACCUAAUAACUUUGUUAUUAAUAGAAUUAAAAUUUAAAAUACUAAAAAAUUAAAGAGGGAAUGAAGAAUGCGAGAAAUGAUAUGAACAAUGUAAGGAUUAUCAUAUUUUUCAUACAAUUUCUCACAUUCUUUGUAAUUUUAUAAUUUUUUUUUCAGUUAAAAAUAUAAUAAUAUUGUUUAUCCAUAUUAAUUAAGCUUGGAAAUGAUGAAAAUUAUCAUUAAUAAAACAUUAAAUAAUUGUAACUAAAUAAUUGUAGAUGGUAGAAUAAGAAGAAUGUGAGGAAUGAUACAUGAGGAAUCCUUACAUUUUAAUUGGAGAGGGUACGAUCACAUACGAAGAAUGUUAUAAAAAAGUAUGAACAAUAUGAAAAUUCUUCACAUUUUUUUUGUCAUUCCCACAUUCUUGGUACCGUCCAAAAUUUUCUAUUUUUUUAUUUUAAGAAUUUUUUUUCCACUUCCCAAAAAUACUUUCUAUAUUUAAUCCAGUCUUCUCCAUAAAAAAAAUUACAAUUAAUAAUACAAUUUUUAAUUAAUAAUUGAUUGAUCAUAAUUCUAAUUUAAUAAUAAAUACUCAUUUUAAGUUAAUUAUAAAUGAUUUUUUCACGAGGUCUUAGUGUUUAAAAUUUAUAUCAUAAAAGGAUACAAUACUUCUUUGAAGACAUGGAUGCAAAACAAGAAGAGGAUAAGAAGGUAAGCAAUCGGAUUGCGGAAACAAGAGAAGUCGCCUACAAUGCUGAGGAUGCUAUUGAAAAUUAUAAUCUCCGUGAUUUUGCUAGUAAAUGGACCCUGAAAAGAAAAUUGACUUGGUUCUGAUUCCUCUAUUUUUUUAAGAAUACCGAGUCGGGUUCUUCUCCUACCCGUAUUGAAUAGAACAUGCUGAGGCAAAUCUUCUUCACUGCUUGCUUUAGAUCGGGAAAAUCGUAUCGAAUGUUGGAUCUGAGAUUGAGAGUAUUCAAAAAAAAAUAUCUCUGACCUUACAAGAAGUUUAGAAACCUAUGGCAUUAAAGCUGUGAAAGUCUGUGAAAGCUUGACUCGGGCCGUGAAUGUCAACAGACGUAAUCUUAUUCUCAUGUUAACAAAGAGGAUGUUGUUGGGUUGGAUGGUGAAUGAUGAAAGUUGUCUGGUUAUUUCUAGUUGCGGUAUGGGUGGUUUGAGGACACGAGUGUUACGAAUUACUUCCAAGGUUUUUCUUGGGCAUAUAUAUAUCCUGACGAUGCCGCGAAAUCAUGUUUGAAAAGUGGCAACAUGUUUCUUGAUAUUAAACCUAAUUUUGCAGUUCAAACAUAUCCAAAUUACAUCCUAAAUUGAUUUGAGUAUCUUUGAUAAUAAUUUUAAACACUAAGAAGGUUAUAGGGGUUUUAAUAUUUGAAAUAUAAAAAUUUUUAAAUGUUAGAAAAGUUAGAAAUAUUUUUUUAAAAUCAUUGUUAAAUGUCCUAUUUAAAAAAAACAUUUAUAAUCCAAAAAGUGUUUUAAAGAAAAACAAGGUAUUUAGUAAAAAUAUUUAAGAAAUAUUUAAAAAAAUUUUAAAAAUCAAUUAUAGUGUUGAAAAAACAUUUAUAAUAUUUUUUAGAUAAAGAUAUGUAAUUAUCCUUAAAACAUUAAGGUUAUGUUUGGUUCCCGGAAAAUACUAAGGAAAGAAAAAAAAUGCAAAGGAAAAUAAUUUUUUUAUGUUUGGUUGUCCUAUGAAAAAUAUCAAAGAAAAUCAAAUAUGAUUAAAACUAAUUAAAAACUUAUGUAUUUUUAAAUUAUUUAAUCUUUAUAUUGAUGAGUUAAAAUAAAUAAAAUGAGUUUAAAGUAACAAAAAAAAUAAUUUAUCAACUUUUAAUCUAUUUUUUUAUUUUCCUUCACUUUUUCUUUUCCUCUGCUUUUCCUUUGUAUUUUCUUUCCCUUGCAUUUUCCUUCAAAGUUUUUGGGAACCAAACAUAGCCUAAAGAGAAAAUAUUUCUGCUAAAAACACUUCAAAUGUACUCGAAUGAUCAUCAAUUGUUUAGCAAAUAAUUUCAUGAUUUUGAAAUGUUACAUGAAUUAUUUGACAAGGACAUAGCACCUACAACUGCAUUAAAAAGCUUGAAAAAUAAGGUCCCUCCAUUUAACAAUGGAAGAAAAUGUGAAAUCAUAUAUCAAAUUAAUAAGCUCAUGUCAUAAAACACAGGUAGUCAUGAAAAUUUUAAUAAAUUAUUUAGUUGAAAAGUCAAAUCUUCUUUGUGUACACUCAAAGGUCUUGCGUUCCAUGAUUCAAAUUUUAUUUAUUUUUAUCUUAAAAUAAGAAGUUGAAGUUAAAAUAAUUUAGGUCAUUGAUUAAUCUUCAAACAAUUAAUAAUAUUUGUCAUUUAAGUUUUUAGUAAAUGAUGUUUUUAAUUAAUAUUGUUAUAAUGGAUUUAUAUAAUCUUCAUAAUUGAAUUUAUUUAUUAAUUAAAUAAGAUUUCUUUGGAUCUCUCUUGUAAUACCAAAUAUGGAAAUAACUAAUAUUGAGAGUUUUGGAUCAGUGAUUGAUGUGAUACUUAUGUGAUUCGAAGCUAUAUUAAACAUAAAUUUUAAAAAACGACUUAAAAAUUAUAUUUUUAUAUUCCAAUGGCUCUCAAGAGACACGUGACAUGUUUUUUGCACAUAAUUAUUUCAAUUUAUCAUAUCUUUUUUUUUUAACUUGAAAUUAUGAUCCGUUUGAAACAUUAGAUUCAUGACUUCUUGAGUAUCAAAAUCAUAUGUAAUUUGGUGUGAUAAGAGGGUUUAUGGUUGGACAUUUGAAUCCAAACUUCCAAUAUUGAUCUCUUAUAGGAUAUUUUGCUUAUAAUUUUUCUUUAAAAACGACACAAAGAAAAACUGCAAAUGAGAGAGGAGAAAGCCAUAAACAUGGCUUGUCACAUUUAUUGCAACACAUUGCACACACGUACACACGGAUAAGAGUCCUGGGCCACCACGUGUCACCAAAUCAGAGACUCUGAGGGCAUUAUUUACUACAACAUAAACAAGAAAGCAAAAAACAUAGAAUUACAAACACACCCCUCUCUUCCAGCUGCUGGCCGUCACCUCCAUUCACAUGAUGACUUGUAGGCACGAGUCCCAAGGGUAGGUAGUUAGCGACUUAGCAGUGGCGGUGGUGGGGAGGGCCGUGCGGACCGGGAUGACAAUGAGGUCCCGGAGGAGGAGGGCAGUGGUGAGGAGGGCCGUGGUGAGGAGGGCCGUGGUGAGGAGGGCCAUGGUGAGGAGGGCCGUGGUGAGGAGGGCCGUGGUGAGGAGGGGGGCACAGCUGAGGGGGCGGCGGACCGUGGUGGUGGGGAGGUGGUGGACCAUGGUGCGGAGGGCAAUGGGGCGGGGGCGGAUGUCCGUGGUGGUGGUGGUGGUCGUGGUGCGGGUCGUGUGGUGGAUGAUGCAUCUUCUCUUCUUCUUCGAGGAAGUUGUGUUGUGGCGAAGGGUUGAAGGGAGCUUCUCAAUUUAUAGAAGCAAAGCUAACUUUCAUACUAUGUCUAGUCUUUUUUUAACUGCGAGUCAAACCUUCAUUUUUUUAUUUUUUAGACGGUGUCACCUACUAUAAUUAUUUAUUUAUUAAUGUAGAAAAUCCGCGUGAGGAUAAAAGCCAUGUGAGUUCUGAUGGGGCAUUGUCAGGGCCCCUGCAAGUCUCCGUCACCUCCGCAAUUCAAUCUCGCAUUCACAUUGAUGUAUUAGGGUUUUGGCCCACAAUAAUUAAUAAAAAAAAUCAUAUUAAUACUGACAUGUAAAAUGAUUCUCAAUUUAAUCCUUCUUUAUACAUGAAUUGUCGCCACCAUAAACCUUUUUUUUCCGAAGCUUCUUUUCUAUUGAUGUAUUAGGGUUUUGGCCCACAAUAAUUAAUAAAAAAAAUCAUAUUAAUACUGACCUGUAAAAUGAUUCUCAAUUUAAUCCUUCUUUAUACAUGAAUUGUCGCCACCAUAAACCUUUUUUUUCGAAGCUUCUUUUCUAUUGAUGUAUUAGGGUUUUGGCCCACAAUAAUUAAUAAAAAAAAUCAUAUUAAUACUGACCUGUAAAAUGAUUCUCAAUUUAAUCCUCCUUUAUACAUGAAUUGUCGCCGCCAUAAACUUUUUUUUUUUUAAGCUUCUUUUCUAUUUUUCUAAUUAAUAAUUACCUAACCAUGUGGCCAAUCUAGAUUAAAUUAUACAUUUUUUAAAAUCAAAUAAUAUUUGUAACAUUUGGCGUACAAUCCUAUAAAUAUUAUCUCAUUUAGAUUUAAAAUUGACAAUAUUUAUACAGUUGGAUGCAAGUUGUUAUUAAGAGUUUAUUUAGCUCCAUGAGGGAUAUUUGUCUAUUUGACAUAUAAUCUCAUUUAAAAGAUGUUUGUAAUAUACUAUAUUGGAUGUGAAAGAAAAUUAUUUACACAAUAUAAAUAUGAACUCCUUUAAAUCACUUAGACAUAUUUUGAAGUCAUAAGAACCCCUUUAAGCUCAAGAUGAACAUUAUUUAUACGAUUAAGUGCGAAUUAUUACAAAUUAUAUUAAAGUCAGUCCAAUAAUCCUCAAUUUCAAUGUAGGGGGUUUGUUUGGAACUCUUUUUAAAAAUAAAUUUAUGAUAUUAAAAAGUAGAAAAUUGAAAAAUAAAAAAUAAUGUUUGGAGAACUUUGGAUGAAAUUAGGAUGUUUGAAUUCUUUUUCUUGUUUUAAUUUAUUUUUAAAAAUAAUUAUAUAAAUAAAGAAUAAUUUAAAACAAAGUACAGUAAAUAAAAACUAUUUUCAAAAAAUAAGAAAACCAUGCUGAGAAUAUCGUAAGUUUUGAAAUAAAUUUGUCUUUAAAAACUAUUUUAUAAUCUUUGUAAAACAAAAGUUUUUUUUGACUACUUGAAACGUAGAUUGCAAGCUUAUGUCCUACGCGAGGAGGGAAACCUUCUAGAACUCGUGGACCCAAUUCUCGGUUCUAACUACUCAGAAGAAGAGGCAGCAAGGCUGCUGAAUUUUGCUCUCUUAUGCACCGGUCCAUCUCCCACUCUCAGGCCAAUAUCCGUGUCUUCUGUGUUGUCCAAGGCAAAAUCGCUGUCCAAGCACCAAUAGUCAAGAAGUGCUCAAUGAACCAGGACAUGAGGUUCAAAGCCUUUGAGAGGCUGUCACAGGACAGCCUAUCUCAUGUCUCGGCAUUCUCCCAAGAAAGCCAGGUGCAAGGCAGCAUAUCAAUGAACGGGCCAUGGAGCUGCAUAGAAAACUUGGAUUCUCUAUGGCAUAAAUUUCCUGGGAAUUCAUCCUUAAACUCACUUGCAUUUAUAAAAUAAUAAUUUAAUGAUAAAAAAACGGAGUUCAACUUUUCAAAGCUUUUCCUCUUACAUCCCCUCCCCCUUCUCCUCUUAAAUGCUCGAAUUUAUUCAAUUAAGAGCUCUUUGAUAGUAAUUAUGAAAAAUAUUUUUAAUAUUUUCAAUACUUAAAUUUUUUUAUCAUUUAAGCGUUAAAAGUUCAACUUUUCAAAGCUUUUCCUCUUACACCCACACCCCCACAUUCCCCUCUUAAACGCUCCAACUCAUUCAAUUAAGAGUCCAUUUGAUAGUGAUUAUGGAAAACAUUUUUAAUAUUUUCAAUGCUUAAAAUUUUUUAUUAUUUAAGUAUUAAAAAUACUAAAAACAUUUUUUAAAAUAACUUCCAAACACCCUCUUAGUAUAAAGCAAACUAGUCAAUCAAGAGUUGCUAUUGACAAAAAAUUUUAAAAAUAAGUAAUGAGCAAUAAGUUGAAAACAAACAAUCUAAUGUUUGAAAACAAAUAAUAUUCAAAUUAAGUUAAAAAAAAAAAAAGCAAAUACCAUUGUGAUGUUUGAUAAAAUUUAAUACUUAUUAUUUAAUGGUUUAAGUCAAAUCAUUCUUAAGAUAUUAACUUAAAAUUUAUUAUUUACUUUUUAUUUUAAUCAUUAAGAUUGUUUGACAGAAUUAACUUAAAAUUUAUUUUUAAUCGUCAAAUUAAUAUAUUUACCUUUGUUAAUUUUAAUUAAAAUUAAUCUUCAUUCAUUUUAACUUAUUUAUUUUCAUUAAUUUUAAGCAAUAAAUUUCUUUAUAAAACAUCUAUAUUUAAGGUAUCAUAGAUACAUAAAAUAACCAUAACAUAUUUAUUAUAAGAAAUAAAUCAUGGAUGUGGAAUCAUAAUUUUAAAAUAUAUUCUUAUUGGCAUGAGCAAAAAAAAAAAAAAAAAAAUAAAUUAACUAUUUUAACUUAAUCCUUAAAGUUAAACAUGAUUAACUUUAAGUUGUAAUAUUAAAUUGUUUUAUCAAACAUGAUUAAUUUGUUUAAUGACUUAAAUUAAGUUGUUAAGUUGAUUUACCAAACAUCCUCUAGUUAUUGACUUUAAACUUAUUGCUUAAUUUUUAUUUUAAAAUAUUAAGGUUGUAUGAUGAAAUUCAUUUAAAGUUUAUUCUAUAUCAUCAAAUUAGCAUAUUUACCCUUGUUAAUUUUAACUAAUAUUUAUAUUUUCAUUAAUGUUAAGAAAUCAAUUUAUUCAUUAAAAAUUAAUAUUUAAAGUAUUGUACAUAUAUAAAAUAACUACAAAAAUAUUUACCCUCCAAAGAUGAGUUGCAAAUAUAGAGUUAUAGUUAUAAAAUAUAUUUUACUAAAUAUGGGGAAUAUGAGAUAAAAGAGAUUUAAGAUUAAUAAUAAAUUGAUUAUUUUAAUUUAAUACUUAAUUUUAAAAAAUUUAAGUAGUAAUAUUAAGUUAUUUUACCAAAUAUGUUUAAUUUACUUAAUGACUUAAAUUGAUUAUUUAAGUCAUAUUAAAUCAUUAAAUUAAUUUUUUAAAUACCCCUUAAAGAGGUAUUUAUUUAUUUUUACUUAAAUAUAAAUAUAACUUAAUUUUAGAUACAACUUAAUAGUAUUAAAUAUUAAAUUAUUUAUUUUUUAUUAUUUUAUUUCUAUUAAGUAUUAAAUAUUAAUAAGGCGAGGGUCAUAUUAAAAUCAUGUUUUAAUUGUUUCAAAAAGUUAUUUUUAAUAUUAAGGAAAAAGUCAAAAUAUUUUGGAUUUUUCUAUUUAGUCAAUUUUUUUUUAAAAAAUAAGUAAUAAGUAAAAAAAAAAAUUAAAAACAAAUCAUUUAAAGUCUAGAUGCAAAUUGCAUUCAACAUUAAGUUAAAAAAAAAAAACGAAUACCACCUCGAACUCUUAUUAUCAAACUCAAAUAGUUAAUUUUUAAUGCUUUUUGGUUUGCAUGCCCAAUUUUAAGUUAGGCAUUUUAUAUUUUUCUUAACAAAAAAAAAAUGAUUUUCUAAAUUAAAUUGAAUGGCAUUGACCUAAACCAAUUUAGUUAGUUAUUGUCUAUGAAUCUAAUUGGACUAAACAACUUGAAUUUCAUUUGAGAUUUGGUCAGUAUGAUUCUCAGUGCAUCUAAACCAAUUACAUUAAUUUGAUUAGAUUUAGUUUUCAAUGUGAAAUAGUUAUCAUUUGUAUUCAAUUUGAAUUUAUUAGUUAAUGUUCAAAAUGAGAGAUUAAUUUGUGGUCUUAGAAAAUGAGAGUAGUUUUUGUCAAGUUUUAUUUUUAUAUUUGGAUAACCCAAAUGCCAAAAAUAUAUGUUCAUUUCAAUGUUUAAUAACAAUAAAAAUAAAAUUAGAAAAUAAACAUAUUUUUUAUUAUGGUUACAUUUUACAUGAACUUCUUUAUUUAUUUAUUUAUUUUAUAGCCAAAAGUUACAUUUAACUCAUAAAAACAUGAUACAUUUUAAUAUUUACAUUGAAAUUAAAAGUGGAGGAAAAAAUCUUAAAGUAUUUUUUAUAUUUUUUAUUUUAAUUAUUAUUAUUAUUUAAGAUGUCAAUAGUCUUAAUUUUAUUGUUAAAAAAUUAUUUUUACAAAAGUUUCUCAAACAUAUUUGUUAAGCAAGAAAGAAAACUUUUCUUGUUUAUAAAAUAAAAUAGAAAAUUGUUAGAAAAGAGUAAAGACAAUUUCCUUUAUGUUUGGUUAGAACGGAUGAGGCAAAAAGGAGCAAAUAAGAAGGGUAAAACCGUCAGAACAAAUUGGUUAUUUCUAUUUGCGGUAUGGGUGGUUUGGGGAAGACCACUUUGCCCAGAAGGUUUAGCAUGACACCAGUGCAACGAAUUACUUCCAAGGUUUUUCUUGGGCAUAUAUAUAUAUAUAUAUAUAUAUCCCGACAAUGUCAAGCAAAAGAUGUCCAAGUAAUUUUAUUUGAUCUCCUCCGUCCAAACAAAAGUAAAGAGGAAGAGAUGUUACAAAUGUGAUAGACUGAACUUGUUAGGAGAGUGUACGAAGUCCAAAUAAGAUAAAGAUAUUUAAUCAUUCUCAAUGAUGUUUGGACUAAAAAUGCUUGGAAAAGCCUAAGACUUGCAUUCUUAUUGAAACAAGGAGGUUCCAAAAUACUGCUCACUACACGGAAUAAAAAUGUAGCCAUGCAUGCAGAUAUAAAAGGCUUUAUUUAAGAAACUGUGUAGCCAUGUAUGCAAAUACAAAAGACUUCAUUUAUGAACCUCAGUGCUUGACUCUUGAAAUGAGUUUGGAGCUGCUCAAGAAAGCAAUAUUUCUAAGAGGCAGUCCAGGUAUGUAUCUUGAGUCACUCCGCUCUCUAUAUAAAUUGAGCUAUAUUCCAUUAUUAAUUUUUUUGUGACAUAAGGCUUCCAUUGAAUUUCAAUUGUUUAGACAAUUAAUAUCAGCUAGUUUGUUCUUUCUUUGAUUUUCAGAUUUUACACGGGAAAGUCUAAGGAAGCAAAUUGUGACGGACUUAGGUUUCUCCUAAACUCACAUGCAAUAUUUAAACAAUUCAAUACAUUUGAUGUUGUUAAGUCGGUCUUCUCGUUGUACUUAACUUUUUAGGCUAAGUUAGGCACACGACUUGAAAUUUAAGAAAACCAAAGGCAACACUUAAACUAAAGGAAACUUGUAUUACACAAAUGAAUGCUUACAAUGACUAGAUGCUCUCACUUGUUUGGUGUCUUGAUCAAAUGAGACUCACCUAUUUAUUGACACUUUAAGAACUUAAAAUCUUGAAGGGUUCCUUACAAAUCAAGAAUUCUUUAGAACAUCCUACACAAGUCCUAUGCAUAAGUAUUUACAAAAAAUCUUUGAAACUCUCCAGCUCCAUACUCUUCUCUUGUCUUCUAGCUUAGUGUAGAGAUGCGUGAAUAUAUAUAUAUAUAUAUAUAUAUAUAUAUAUAUAUAUAUAUAUAUAUAUAUAUAUAUAUAUAUAUAGAAAGAUUCCUUAUUUUUCAAUCCGAGCCACCUAAGCUUCAACUAGAUGCUUUAUGUAAAAUUAUUUGUAUAUGCACUACAUCAAUGUAAAAGGUUGGAUCUCAUAUAAAUUUUCCUGUCUUAUAGUUUUAAUUUGAUAAAAUUAAAAUGGUAAUAAAACUUCAAUUAAACUAAAUCUGUGGACAAAUACUUUACAAUAAAAUUAUUUAAUAAUAACUAUUAAGUACACAAGUGUAUUAAAAUUAAAAGGAAAACUAGUUAUGAUACGAAGAAGAGAUUAAAAAACAGUUAAUGAUUUAUUGUCGAUGGUCCACCAUUGACAAUCAGCAACAAGUGGAAACGGCCCUGUACUUUUCAGGGUACUAUGAUACUAAUAUGAAACUUGAAAUGAAAAAUAAUAAUGAUGAUGAUAAAAAAAUUAUAAUUUUUGUUGAGAUAUAAGGAAUGUUGAGAUAUUAUGAUAUUAGUUGUUCUUUCCUUAUAUCAUUCUUUCAUUGUAUUAUUCUUUCCCAUUCUUAGACUGGUGAUUAUCCUCUAUAUAUACUCUGUAGAUGAACGAAUGAAAUAAUCAAUGAAAAACUACCAUUCAUCAAUUUGAAGAUGGUAUCAGAGCCAUGAAGCUGAAAUCCUGGAUAUUUUGUCAGUAAGGCCAACCAUCGCCCCUCCUUCGCGAUAAAAAAAAUAAAAAAAAAAUGAAUGAAAAAAAUACUAUUGUUUUUCAAUCUGAAGGUACUUUUAAUCCAUGAAUUAUUUUAACUGAAUCAAACUAUGAUAUUUAGUCACAACUCGUGGAGAUGCAUAUUGUCGAAUGGGAAAAACUUUCCUACAUUCGAGGUAAGACAAAUCCACCAAAAGAGUCAGAAGAUGGAUAUGAAAAAUGGUAUGCUGAAAAUCAAAAGGUGAAAAGAUGGUUGUUAAUGUCCAUGAGUCCAGAAAUUAUGAAACGUUACUUAAGCUUACUGUAGACCCCUAUUUGGGUGCUAUUUCAUGCAGCUCAUUCUGGCCACAUGUCACUCCCGGAUUAGUCAAUAUGGGAUCACUAUAGUGGAAUUGAUGGACUAAUCAGGGGAAGACACCUGUAAAGGGAAAGAAUCUUCUAGAAGGGAAAAAGGUUUUCUGUUAUGGGAAGGUGGCAGAGCAGCUGCAGGGGGAAGAGCAUUUUUGGCUGCAGGGUGAUGGUUACUGGCAGAGAGCUGCAGGAGGGCAGGUGCUUUUGGGGACGUGUUGGAGGAGGCCGUUAGGGAUUUUUUUUGGAGAGUUUAGAGAGACAUUCUUGAGGGGCAAGCUGGAUAUGCAGAGAGGGGAGAGAAAAACGAAAGGAAAAAUCAGAAGAGAGAGGUACUUGGGCUGCUGAAAGGAUUGCCAAGGGAGUCCAGAGGGAGUUUCCAUUAGAGAGGGAGUUGAGAGCUGUUAUUGAGAUAACAGAGGAGGGUUUUUGACCAAGGGUAGAGGAAGCUUAAGUUGCAAAGGAGUGAUAGCAGAGAGCUUUGGGAAAAGAAGUGGUUCCUGGAGCUGCAGAGGAGGUUUUUCUGGAGAGUAUUCCUGGAGCUUAGGCUACUACGGAGGGAAGGCUUAGAGGAGAUAUUCUCUGAUAGCAAGAAGAGGAAACUUUCAGCGCAUUCGCGAUUGCCGCCCAGGUACGCAUCUAUUCAUAUUUUGCUCAUUCUUUAUACAUGCUUUGCUUCUCACAUGUGCAUGAUCACUCUGAGUAUUCAUUGAUUCCCGCAUCAAUUGCUAUGAUUGCUUCAUUUUAUUAUUAAAGACCCGACUUUAUGGACUUAGAGGGGUGCUACGGUCGUUACCGUAUCUUCCCGAUAAGUAACCUGACCCCCGAACCCGAUCCGGUUUUUCGUAGAUUACCUUUUCCAAAAUAAGGAGUCGCACUUAGGGUUUUCUUUCUUAUUUUGUUUACCCUUUUAAAAAAUAAAAAAAUAAGUGGCGACUCCAAGUCAUUUUUCUUAAUCAAUAAAAAUCAUUUUUCAAAUUAAAAUCGAGCUCGCCAUCAAGUGGGAAAAGCAUUGAGCCGAAAUACGGGGUCCACGAAAUCGGCCAUCUUCUUGUCAUGUCAGUUCAGUUUCUAGGACCGCACCUAUACAAUCGGUCAUCAUCUUAUUAGUUUGAGUCGGGGCCGCACCUAUACGAUCGGUCAUCUUCCUGUCAUGUCAGUUCAGUUUCUGGGACCGCACCUAUACGAUCGGUCAUCAUCUUAUCAGUUUGAGUCAGGGCCGCACCUAUACGAUCGGUCAUCAUCUUAUCAGUUUGAGUCGGGGCCGCACCUAUACGAUCGGCCAUCUUCCUGUCAUGUCAGUUCAGUUUCUAAGACCGCACCUAUACGAUCGGUCAUCAUCUUAUCAGUUUGAGUCGGGGCCGCACCUAUACGAUCGGUCAUCAUCUUAUCAGUUUGAGUCGGGACCACACCCAUAUAGAUCGGUCAUUCAUUCUUCCUAUCAGGUCAGUUCGGCGUCCAGGUCUUUGCUUCAGUAUGACAUUCAGGGUCACAUUUCCAUUUUGGGCGUUCAGAUUCAUUUUCUUCCCCUUGUUACCUUAUGCUUAUCGUUUCAUCAUUGCUCUUCUAGACUUCCCCUUCCAUUGCACAUGACAUAGUUCUUUGAGUUCGUGACACAUACUUUUGUCAUGUUAUUAGGCACCCUACACCCAGCAUUCUCGUAUAGCUCACCUAGGGCAGUCUCCUUUGAGCGUAGUCUUUUCUAUACUCUAGGGUGGUUCAACCGUUACUCAUCUUUGACAUCGAUCCUUGAGUCACUUUUGGAGACGUCUUAGAAGGAGCUUGGAUCCUUAGUGUGGCUUCAGAGGCAUUUUGAGACAUCUUUUUCUUUUAAGAUUAGAGCCUUUGUGUUCAUCUGUUAGUCUGAGUGAGUUUAUAUCUCACUAGUGUCCCUAUGGGGGUCUCCUUGGUUUUUCGGUAGAGUUCACUUCAUUGCACUCACUAUUCACACUUACUUUUCACUCCAGUGUUCAUGUUCUUCACACUCGUGAACUCUACCGAAGAGGGGCAUAUUUGUAGACCCCCUUUUAGGUCAUUCCUACCUUGCAGCUCAAUUUAACCACGUGGAAGAGCCUUGGUCAGCCACGUGUCAACACCUGAGAAGCCAUGAGAGAAUCAUAAUAGUGGUUUGGGGAGCCAAUCAGGAGGUGACGCGUACAUGGGAAUAUACUGGCCGUUAGAAGAGCAGAUGCUGGCAGCUGGUGGCAGCUAGAGGUGAGGUGCUUUUGGAGAGGUUUGCCAGCUGCAGGAAGGGUGUCGUCUGGCAGAGUGGAAGGAGGUACCUGGGCUGCUGGCAGGAGCUCUCUGAGCAGGCCGUUGGAGAUAUUUUGAAAAAGGAGGCUUUUCUGAGGGUCUCCAGGAUGGUCUGGGGAGAGGCGGGGGAGAGAUUUUUUUCAAGGAUAUUUUAGUUUCAGAGUUUUCCGGAGAGAACAGAGAGCUAGAGGGAGAGAAGAGAAAAGAAAAAGAAAGAAAUCAGAGGAGAGGGAGAUACCUGAAAAAGGAAGAGAAAAUGAGAGGAGAGCUUUAGAAAGAGGAGGAUAAGAGUUCUUGAGAGUUGAAAAAAAGGCUUAGAGGGGAUUAGCUAGAGAAGAGGGGAGAGCUUUCACAGGAGGUCAAGACAAAGGUGAGAGCAGAGUGUGAUAUUUUUUUGAGGAGGCUACCGGAGAUAUUUGGGGGAUUCUUUGCUUUCCGGUGAGGCAGGGAGAUAUUUGAGAGAACAUCUUCUUAGCUAGAAGAAAAGAACGGAGACAGAGGAGGGAGGAAGCAUCCUCAGGUACCUUCAUCGUGGAUUCCCUGUUAGUUUCUAUCGGUAUGUUUUUCUAUUCUGUUUCCGCUGAUUCUUAGAUGAUGUUUAUUGAUUAGGAGUGAGCAUGUUGAUAUUUUGCUCAUGGUCUUUUUGUAGUUUGAUUUGCUCUUGUUUUGUUCUUUUCAUGAGAUAUUUCCGUAACAGUGUUCUAUCUUUUAUUUGAUACUCGUUUGAUUUCACCCACCCUCACGAGCUCAUUGAUUGAUAUAUGAAAUGAGGCUUGAGUGAGUUCAUGUUGUUCCUAUUGCUUGCACUCUGUUUUUGCUGUCCGCCCUGUUUCUGGUACCCAUACCUGGAGUGCAUUAUUUUUCUCAUUUCUACCUUUGGAAGUAAGGAAUUACAGAGGGUCAUUCUCAGUAGGAGAGUGCUUGGUGAACACUUAGGCACAAAGAUGACAUGUUCAUCAGGGUAGGAAGGCCCUGAGUGUGCAGUUGCUGGGUUGAUUCAUUGCCUGAUAUUAUUGCCAUGCGACACAAGAAAGGUUGUCUCAUCAUUUGAAAAGAAUCUUGCCUGGCAAAAGGCUCUUUGACUAUGGGACUGACGAGUCUUAACCGGAGUUAUGCUCAUCCGUGCAUGGUUAUGAAAUACCAGAUGUGACUGUGUAACAUUGAGGUGUCUCACCUGUGGUAUUGAAGGAGCUAGAAACAGAAAUAUUAGAAGCCUAUGAGCAGGCUCCGGAGUCAGAUAAAUGCUGCGCGGGGUAUACCGUCUAAACAAUCAUCAUGGAUCGGGCCUUGAAAAUUCUUGGGUCAUGGCAAGCCUAGCACCAGAAGGUUUAUGAUUUGACGCUCGUAAUUGUGAUGCUAAAACGGAUGAAUGCGUUUAAUGGAUGGACGGAAUUUCUUCAUAUCUCAUGAUGAGAUCUUAAGAUAAUUUUGAUGCUAUGGGUUUGCAAGAAAGCCGUCUCCGAGCAGCCUGUUUGUGAAUUGGUAGAAUGUCAAACCUCGAUUGCAUGUAGCUUGUAAUCCCGGAGCAGAAUAAUUCACAAUGAGAGGGAAAAUGGAGGAAUUUCUGAUAGACCUAAUGUUGCUGUGGGUGUCUUCCAUAAGUAUUUUUGAAGUCGCAGGACUCUUAUUUCUUGAAUAUCCAGGUCUGGUCGCCUAUUCUUACAGACAUCUAAGGAGCUUGAGAGGAUGGAAAUAGGAUUGCCGGAACGUGGCAGGAUGGUGAUAGGAAACAUUCACCACUGUCAUUACUGUUGAGGGCCACGUGUUGACCAUUAUAUCUUUGCUUGAACUAUUACUGUUUCUGCUAAUUGAGGUGUCAUGCAGCACUGAAUCUCCACACCCAGGUUGAGGUUUAGAUCUUGGGGGACUGCCGAAACUUGCCGGAAAAAAUAUGACAAGGUAACCUCAUACAAACCCUUCUCUCAUAUUAUCCAUCUUCAUUCUUCCCACAUCACCUGCCCAUGUCCUCUCAUCACCUUUCCAAUUUCACACCUCCCCGCACCCGUGACCUUACUCGCAGCUAAACCCAUAAAUCCUUUCUCUCACUACUUCCCUUCCUCCAUCUCUGCAUGCAUGGCUGCUCUACCUCUUUGUGGCGAGACCUAGAAUAUAAAAGCAUCCGAUUGGAAAGUUUGCAAGCUGGGCUUAAAUGGUUUUCCAGAGGAUAAAUCCUUAAAUGGACCCUGUUCCCGUCCGUCGCUCUCGAUCUUCGUGGAAAAUGAAAGCGGGGUCACAUUUGAAACUUCCAAAGUGUCUCAUCUCAGUGCACCAGAAAUGGGUUUUCUAAAGGACAUGUGGAAUCCAUGGUGAUCUCUUGAUAUUGGAUCUUCACGGGAAUAAUAGGAUUGGUCUGUCACGGACCUUUCCUACUGUUGCAGUUCAACAUAAUUGCACCCCUGGGACCCACUUGUGCAUGAACUGCAUGGCCAUCUUCAGGCCACCUGUCUUUCUGCCAUUGCUCUCUCUUAUUUCCUUAUUAUUUAAUUUUGAAAAUAAUUCUUCCAGACCCCAUUUUGUAAAUAACCUUUUUCAAAUUGUGGUUUUUCAAAUAAUUCCAACUCUCCUUAGUUUUUCGUCCUUAGUUUUUUUUUAGGUCCCCAAAAUCACUUUUUUAAUCAAAUUUGCUUCCAAUUCCUAUUCGGCAAGCAAUUUUCAAAUUUAUUUUGGUAUUUUAAAACGUUUUAAAAUAAAUAUGAAUUUAAAUUCCGUAAUCCGGACUAAUGGAAUUUAUGGAAUUAAUUCAUGCAAAAUAAAACGGGCUUUGGUGGGGGCCCCACAUAGGUGAUUUUAUAAUUGAUUGAUUGAUUGUUUGACUGAUUUACUUAUCAUGCAUGAUUGAUUUAAUCUAUUCCUUGAUAUGCGCUUCACUAUAUUUGUUCAUUGUUCACUGAUCCUGCUUCAUGAUAGCGCAUUUGUCACUGAGGAUCCAAGUACGCACCUACUUUCACUCUGGUAAUUAUCCUCUAUUGCAUAUUCUGACACUCAUAUGUGCAUGAUUGAUUCAGGUAUUCAUUGAUUUCUUUAUUAGAUGCCACGAUUGCUUCAUUUUAUUAGUAGAGACCCGACUUUAGGGACUUAGAGGGGUGUCUUUUACCGUACCUUCCCGAUAAGUAAUCUGACCCCCGAACUCGAUCCGGUUUUUCGCAGACCACCUUUUCCAAAACAAGGAGUCACACUUAGGGUUUUUCUUUCUUAUUUUGUUUACCCUUAAAAAAUAAAACAAAAAUAAGUGGCGACUCCAAGUCAAUUUUCAAACAAUAAAUAAAAAAUCAUUUUCAAAUAAAAAUCAAGCUCACCAUUCGAGUGGGAAACGCAUUGAGCCGAAAUGCGGGGUCCACAUUUACCCACUGCUCAAGAAAUUUGGAGUGCAUUAUCAAAGGUCUUCUAUGAUGGAAGUGAUGAAUUACAAGUUUUCACUUUGAAUCAAAAAGCCUUCACUGCCAAACAAAAUGGCAGGUCUCUUUCUGAAUAUCAUGGAGAGCUAACUGAAAUUUUUUGCGAAUUAGAUCAUCGGGAUAAGGUAGUCAUGAAAGACUCUGACAUUGCAGCAUACUAGAAAUCCCUUGAACAACAACGAGUGCACAUCUUUCUUGUUGGAUUGGAUGGUGACUUUGAGCAAGUUUGAGGAGAGAUUUUAGGCAAAGAUCAUCUUCCCAAUUUGGAAGAAUGUUAUACACUGAUUCAACGAGAGGCAGUGCGUUAUGCUAGUAUGAAAGUAGAAUCUGACAACCUUGACACCUCAACUAUGGUAGUCCAACAGCGAUCAACCUAGAAUUGGCAUAACCAAUCUAAGACCAACCAUCCUAAGACAGACCCUAAUAUUAAUAAGUCAACCUUCAAAUGCACUCACUGCAAUAAGACUGGUCAUACCAAGAGUCGUUGCUUUGAAAUUGUGGGAUAUCCAGACUGGUAGGAUCAUAAUCGUGAUCAACGGAAGAAGGAUUCCAAGAAAACCUCGACUGCAGCUGUUGCCGAAAUAAAAACAGAGGCUAAUGUUGCUAAGAAAGCCUCUGCAUUGGUAGCCGCUACAGAUUAUGGUGGUAAGUUUUUAAAUACUUCUACACCUGUUAUUAAUAGUGCAUGGAUAAUUGAUUUUAGUGCUACAGAUCAUAUGACUUUUGAUUCUAGACAGGUCUCACCCCUUAGACAUUCCCUACAAAAAAUUGUUUCCACAACCAAUGGUAACACAACCCCAGUCAUUGGGGAAUGAUCCUUAACUCUUACUGAUACUUUGAAUUUGGAUUAUGUUUUAAUUGUUCUAUCUUUAGAUUACAAUCUUUUAUUAAUUUCUCAAAUCAGUACAACCUUAUCUUGUAUUGUCAUUUUUUGGCCUGAAUUUUGUAUUUUUAAGGACAUCCAAAUAAGAUAGACGAUUGAUUGUGGUAUUAAGCAGGGAAAACUCUAUUACUUGGACUUGCAAUCAAAGGAUUCAAAUAAGUUACGACAAGCCUUGAUGACAGAUGGAUCUGAGGGGGAGAAGAAAAAGUUUGAAAUUUGGUUGUGGCAUCGACGUUUGGGGCAUGCUUCAUUUGGUUAUUUAAAAAAAUUGUUUCCUAGUUUGUUUGCAAAGAGUGAUAUUUCUGGUUUCCGUUGUGAUAUUUGUGAAUUGGCUAAAAGCCAUCGUGCUUCAUUUCCAUUAAUUUUGAAUAAAAGUCUGUUUCCUUUUAUGGUUAUACAUUCUGAUGUUUGGGGCCCAUCCAAAGUCUCAACUUUGAGUGGUUCGUGUUGGUUUGUUACUUUUAUUGAUGAUUGUACCAGAAUGACAUGGUUAUACUUGAUGAAGACCAAAGAUGAAGUGAACUUGUUGUUUCAAAAAUUUCAUAAAAUGAUUGAAACUCAGUACAAUGAAAAGGUUCGAGUUCUACGUAGCGAUAAUGGUGGAGAAUAUCAGAGUUCUAAUCUUCAAAAGUAUUUGGAAGGACAUGGCAUCAUUCAUCAGACUACUUGUUCCAAUACACCCCAACAAAAUGGAGUCGCUGAACGGAAAAAUCGUCACUUGUUAGAGGUUGUUUAUGCUUCCUUGAUAGCAGCAAAAAUACUGAUAUCUUAUUGGGGAGAAACAAUCACAUCUGUCGCAUACUUGAUCAAUCGGGUACCUUUUAGCUCAAUUAAAUUCCAAACACCUCUCCAAGCUCUUAGUAAUGUCGUAGUUGCCCCAACCUUCCCAAAUCUACUCCUCGUGUUUUUGGUUGCGUGGCAUUUGUGCAUCUACACAAACACCAACGCACCAAGUUAACUUCCCGUGCAUUGCAAUGUGUGUUUGUUGGAUAUGCAUUGCACAAAAAGAGAUAUCGAUGCUACCAUUCUCUAACUCGACGAAUGUUUAUUACAAUGGAUAUGGUGUUUCAUGAAGAUUCGAUGUAUUUUUCAUUUGAGUCUGAACUUCAGGGGAAGUACCAGAAGAAAAUUCAGACUCUCGAUUAUGAUUAUCAUAUCUCUGAGGAGGAUGAAUCUGGACAAUCUGAACUAGUGAACCAGGAAGCAGGUGAGUUGGAUAUGAGUGGUACAACUUUGGAACCAAGUAGUAAUGACCACNNNNNNNNNNNNNNNNNNNNNNNNNNNNNNNNNNNNNNNNNNNNNNNNNNNNNNNNNNNNNNNNNNNNNNNNNNNNNNNNNNNNNNNNNNNNNNNNNNNNAAUAGAGGUAUUCCUAAACCCACAUAUGAACUUGAAUUGUCUACCAAAGUCAAAUAUCCCAUCAACAACUAUGUGUCUAACCAUCGUUUGUCUGAAUCAAAUAAGUCAUUUGUAAAUCAAUUAUCUACUUUAGUUAUUCCUAAUAGUGUGCAGGAAGCCUUAGCUGAUCCAAGGUGGAAAGCAGCCAUGAAUGAAAAGAUGAAAUCAUUGCAGAAGAAUGAAACAUGGGAACGCGUAGAAUGUCCACCAGGAAAGAAGCCAGUUGGGUGUCGUUGGAUCUAUACUGUGAAGUACAAGGCAGAUGGUAGUAUUGAACGAUUUAAAGCAAAAUUGGUAGUAAAAGGGUACACUCAAACUUAUGGAAUUGACUACACAGACAUUUGCACCUAUAGCUAAGAUCAACACAAUUCGAGUAUUACCGUCUUUAGCUGCAAACCUGGAUUGGCCAUUACAACAGUUUGAUGUGAAAAAUGUCUUUAUGCAUGGCGAGUUAUCUGAAGAAGUAUAUAUGGAUCUUCCACCAGGAUACAUGGUGUCAGAAAAGCAAUAUCAGAAGGUGUGCAAAUUGAAGAAGUCAUUGUAUGGGUUGAAGCAAUCCCCGAGAGCAUGGUUUGGAAGGUUCACAAAGUCAAUGAGAGCUUUUGGUUAUCGUCAAAGUAAUUUAGAUCACACUUUGUUCCUAAAAAAGCAACAUGGUAAGAUUACAACACUCAUCGUAUAUGUGGAUGACAUGGUAGUUACAGGAAAUGAUCCUGAAGAAAGAAAAGCUUUAUAAAAUUAUCUAUCUAGAGAAUUCGAAAUGAAAGAUCUAGGUCAUCUGAAAUGCUUUCUUGGGAUUGAAGUUUCUCGAUCAAGUGAAUGAAUUUUUCUGUCUCAAAGAAAGUAUGCUUUAGAUCUUUUACAGGAGACUGGAAUGUCGAGAUGUCAACUUAUUGAUACACCAAUAGAAGAAGGUUUGAAAUUGUGUGUUGAGCUUAAUCAAAUAUCAACCAAUAAGGGAAGAUACUAAAGACUUGUGGGGAAAUUAAUGUACUUAGCUCAUACAAGACCAAAUUUUGCUUAUGCAUUGAGUGUAGUAAGUCAAUACAUGCAUAAUCCUGGAGAGCAACAUAUGAAUGCAGUUAUGCGUAUUUUAAGGUAUUUGAAGAAUGCUCCUGGAAAGGGAAUUUUGUUCACUAAAAAUGUUGAUCAUUAGAGUAUAGAAGUAUAUACUGAUAUUGAUUGGGCUGGUGUAGUGGAUGAUAGGCGAUCUACAUCUGGUUACUUUACCUUUGUAGGUGGUAAUCUUGUGACAUGGAAAAGUAAGAAGUAGAAUGUCGUCGCUCAUUCAAGUGCAAAAGCGAAAUUUAGGGGUAUGGCUCUAGGACUUUGUGAGGCAUUAUGGCUAAAACUCCUCUUAUAGGAUUUAGGUUACCUAUCUAGGCAACCAAUCCAAUUGUUUUGUGACAAUAAAGCCGCAUGUGAUAUUGCUGAUAAUCUAGUACAACAUGAUCGUACAAAGCAUGUCGAGGUGGACAAAUUCUUCAUUAAGGAGAAGUUGGAUGAUAAGAUUGUGGAAUUGCCUAAGAUUCGAUCAGAAAAUCAAUUGGUCGAUAUCCUCACCAAAGCUGCAGUCUCAAGUCGAGUGUUCUAAAAAAUUUUAGACAAGUUGGGCAUGUGUGAUGCACCAACUUGAGGGAGAGUGUUGAGAUAUUAGAAAUGUUUAGAUAUUAUGAAAGUUGAGAUAUUAGAAAUGUUGAGAUAUUAGGAUAUUAGUUGUUCUUUCCUUGUAUCAUUUUUUCUCAUUCUUAGAAUGGUGAUUACCUUCUAUAUAUACUCUGUACAUGAACGAAUGAAAUAAUCAAUGAAAAACUACCAUUCAUCAAUUUGAAGAAUUUUAGCAUUUUUUAAAUAAAUAAUAAAUAAAAACACCAUCUUUAAAGGCACCUCCAUUUUAGGUAGGUGCCCACUGAUAAUCACUUACAUGUUGAUUGGGCACUUGCAUGCUUAGGACGGUAUCUAGGAACACGUGUGAUGAGUGGCUCCAGAAUUAAAUGGAAAAUUCUAACGUAUCAAAAGGUGUAUCAUAUCAAAGUGUGGGGUGAGAAAUUAUUUGAGUUUAUAGGAAAAAAAAAUGGAUAGAAAGGAAUAUGAUAUAGAUUUUCUCAAGUUUUUCUUCAAUAUGGUUUUGUCCGAUCCAAGUCUGAUUAUUCUUUGUUUAUCAAAGGAUCUUGAUCUUUUUUGUUGCUUUAUUGGUUUAUGUGGAUGAUAUCAUCAUCACUGAUCCAAACACUCAACUGAUCCAGUUUUUGAAAACGUUUCUUCAUACUCAGUUUAAGCUUAAGGAGUUGGGAUGUUUGAAAUUGUUCAAUCUACCACAGGUAUUGUGUUAUCUCAAAGGCAUUACACGCUUCAACUCCUUGAAGGUGUAGGGACCCCUUCUCUGAUGACACGUGGCACGCACCUCUAUCCGGAUCGACCCUGGCCGUACCCCCCCAAGAGGACACGUGGCGCACACCUCUAUCCGGGUCCCCCAGGGAGGAGCACACGACACUCGCAAGCAUCAUGCCCGGACGGCAAUAUAUCCUACCCGGAUAUAUUGUCCAGAUCAUUGACUAUAGCGAGCAUGCCCUGCUGAGUCAUCCUCGAUAGCCUGCCACCACCCACGUUCCGCCACCUGCAGGGCGAAAGGACAGGAGCGAUGACAAGUCGCCUCCCACGAUCUCUGACAGCCGCCUGCAGGGUGAUGAUGACCCUGCCACCACCUUGAGGGCAUCAUGACGAGCCAAAAAGUCUUCCCACCAUUAAAGAGGGAAGUAGAGCUUCUGACACUAUAUAAAAGGGUCUUCACACAAGGAAGAAAGUAAGCUUGCUAUCCCUGAGAAGAGGCCGACAGCUUAAUCUCUAGAGCCAUGGCUAACAAAAUCAUCGGAGGGUGUGUCCGGACAUCCUGUUCGGACAUCUUUUGCAGGGACAACUGAGCUAGAACUCAAUCUUGGUUGACAGCGUGCGUCCACUUAGCAGCAACGUGGAUCCCUGGGACGCAAGACCUCAACAGAAGGUACUGGGUAUCUUACUUGUAAGCUGACAUCUGCUCCUAUGGAUCCUAAGGUUCAGCUCAGUGCUCAACCUCGGUUACCUCACUUGUAAGCUGUUCAUCACCUUUUUAAGUCCACUCUAGAUCAGGGCCUUUUCUUCUCUUCCUCAUCUUCUCUUCAGUUGAAAGCUUUUUUCAGAUACUAAUUGGGGCUCUUAUUUAAAUACCAAAAAAUCUAUCAUUAGUUUCUUUAUCUUUAUUGGUGAUUUUUUGGUCUAUUGGAAAGCUAAGAAGCAAACCACAAUUUCUUGAUCCUUUGUAGAGGUCGAGUAUAGAACUUUACCUUCUACUACUAGUGAAUUGGUCUGACCACACCAAUUGCUGAAGGACUUUGAAGUUGUUAUUUCCUCUCUUGCACUUUUGUUUUGUGAUAAUCAAACUGUCAUUUAUCUUGCUUCUAAUCCUCUUUUUCAUAGAAGGACCAAACAUAUCAAGAUGGAUUGUCAUUUUGUUCGUGAUAAAGUUGUUUUAUUUGCUUAUUAAAUUGUUUUUCUAAAUAAAAAAUAGAAUAAUGUUAAACUUUUAUAUUUAACCACAAAAAAAAUAGUUAUUGAAUUUUAUUUUUGAGAAUGUUAUAUUAAAAUUAUUUUUAUAAAAAAUAAUAUAUAUAUUUUAAUUUUUUUAUUGGGCAUAUAUAUCCCGAGAAUCUCAAGCAAAAGAUGUUCAAGUAAUUUUAUUUGAUCUCCUAUGUCCAAACAAAAGUAAAGAAGAAGAGUUUUUACGCAUGGGAUAGACUGAACUUGUCAGGAGAGUUUACGAAGUCCAAAUAAGAAAAAGAUAUUUAACCAUUCUCAAUGAUGUUUGGACUAAAAAUGCUUGGGAAAGCCUAAGGUGGUGUUUGUUUUUUUACUUAAUUCUAAAUAGAAUCUUAAUACUUAAUAGUAUUAAAUAUUAGGUUGUUUGUUUUUGUAGUAUUUUAUUUCUAUUAAGUAUUAAAAAGUAAAAAAAAACCAUGAUAUUUUUUCUAUUUAGAAAAAGCCACAUAUUUUGGCUUUUUCUAUUUAGUAAAAAGUUUAUAAUAAGUCAUGAAAAAGUAAAAAAACAAAUAACCUAAAUUCUAAAACUAAAUGAUUUUUAGCAAAAAGCCAAAAAAACAAACACCACCUAAGACUUGCAUUCUUAUGGGAACAAGGAGGUUCCAAAAUACUGCUCACCACACGGAAUAAAAGUGUAGCCAUGCAUGCAGAUACAAAAGGCUUUAUUUAAGAAACUGUGUGGCCAUGUAUCAUGUAUGCAAAUACAAAAGACUUCAUUUAUGAACCUCAGUGCUCGACUCUUGAAAUGAGUUUGGAGCUGCUCAAGAAAGCAAUAUUUCUAAGAGGCAGUCCAGGUAAUUCCUCAUCCAUCCAUCUUUUAACUUCAUUACUGGUAUGUAACUUGAGUCACUCCGCUCUCUAUAUAAAUUGAGCUAUAUUCCAUUGUUAAUUUUUAUGUGACAUAAGGCUUCCAUUGAAUUUCAAUUGUUUAGACAAUUAAUAUCAGCUAGUUUGGUCUUUCUUUGAUUUUCAGAUUUUACACGGGAAAGUCUAAAAAAGCAAAUUGUCACGGACUUAGGUUUCUCCUAAACUCACAUGUAAUGUUUAAACAAUUCAAGACAUUUGAUGUUGUUAAGUCAGUCUUCUUGUCGUACUUAACUUUUUAGGAUAAGUUAGGCACACGACUUGAAAUUUAAGAAAACCAAAGGCAACACUUAAACUAAAGGAAACUUGUAUUACACAAAUGAAUGCUUACAAUGACUAGAUGCUCCCACUUGUUUGGUACCUUGAUCAAAUGAGACCUAUUUAUUGACACUUUAAGAAUUCUUUAAAAUCUUGAAGGUUCCUUACAAAUCAAGAAUUCUUUAGAACAUCCUACACAAGUCCUAUGCAUAAGUAUUUACAAAAAAUAUUUGAAACUCUCCGGCUCCAUAUUCUUCUCUUGUCUUCUAGCUUAGUGUAGAGAUGCGUGAAUAUAUAUAUAUAAAAAGAUUCCUUAUUUUUCAAUCGAGCCACCUAAGCUUCAAUUAGAUGCUUUAUGUAAAAUUAUUUGUAUAUGCACUACAUGAAUGUAAAAAGGUUGGAUCUCAUAUAAAUUUUCCUGUCUUCUAGUUUUAAUUUGAUAAAAUUAAAAUGGUAAUAAAACUUCAAUUGAACUAAAUUUGUGGACAAAUACUUUACAAUAAAAUUAUUUAAUAAUAACUAUUAAGUACACAAGUGUAUUUAAAUACCACUUAUUUAAAUAGUAAGUUAUUAUUGGUGUAUUUAAAUACUCCAAGUGUAUUUAAAUUUUCUUCUCAUCAGUUGAAAGCUUUUUUCAGAUACUAAUUGGGGCUCUUAUUUAAAUACCAAAAAAUCUAUCACUAGUUUCUUUAUCUUUAUUGGUGAUUUUUUGGUCAAUUGGAAAACUAAGAAGCAAACCACAAUUUCUUGAUCCUCUGCAGAGGUCGAGUAUAGAGCUUUACCUUCUACUACUAGUGAAUUGGUCUGACUACACCAAUUGCUAAAGGACUUUGAAGUUGUUAUUUCCUCUCUUGCACUUCUGUUUUGUGAUAAUCAAACUGUCAUUUAUCUUGCUUCUAAUCCUCUUUUUCAUGAGAGGACCAAACAUAUCAAAAUGGAUUGUCAUUUUGUUCGUGAUGAAGUUGCUAAUGGUUUCAUUAAACUAAUGCCUCUUCGCUCUCAACAUCAACUAACUGAUAUUGGAAUUCGGUGGCUACACAUUAGUUAGUGGGGGCUGAUUUCAUGCAAGUUGUUGAUGUGUAAAAACUGAGAAUUUGUGGAUGGGUUUUGUAGAGAAUUUAUAAUAUAAGUGGCUAGGUAAUGAGGCAUGGUGGCUGAAUUUUUUUGUGGAGAAAAUCAUAGAGAUUCUUUAAGAUUUAGACAGGAAGAUUGAGGGGUUGGUGCACAGCCAUAGGAGUUUUUUUUAGAGAUUGGGAAGAUACGGAUUGGUUUUGGGAAGGUUUGAAGAGACCCACGACAUUGAAAAUUUCUUUAAAAACUUUUAGAUUUUUUGGAUAGAAUGCGAAAGGAGAUGUAUAUGGCUGCAAUAGGGGACUUUUGGGAAGGAGUAUCACGACACAUAUUUUGUGGAGGAGGUUUCUCUUAGAUUGGAAGGCAUGUGGGCUGACAUAUUCUGAGAAGGAAAGAUUUACACGGCCAUGGAGAGUUUUUUUCUGGAAAGGUGGGCGGCAUUAAGAGUCGUCCGGGAUAUUUUUAGGAGACGUGGGCUGGAUAUAAAAUGGCUUUGUGCUUAAAAUAUAAACAAAUUUCAAAAUAAGCCUUGAAGUUGGCCCAAUGGUUUUGGACUAAGUUUAAACAAAUUCAACCAAAUGGACCCAAAAGGUUUGAUAUAAUUUUGCUUUUGAACAAACCAACCGUAUUGAUUCGAUCCAAUUUUCUUUCAUAAAGUGAUUGAACCGACUUUUUUAUAACUUUAAUAUUAAAACAUUCCUAAUUUUCCUAACUUCAUCAUUUAAUCAUCCAAGUGUACCAUCCAUGAUUUGCCAUUUUUCCUCUACUUUCUAUACAUUUGUUGACGUGGAUUGAUCCCCUUUGCUAAAAAUUUGAACUGUCGGCAACGGCAGAUUAUCAUAAUCCUCUUGGGCCAUCGCAUCUUCAUUACCUCCCAUAUUUAUUCCUUUAAAUAAGAAUAAUUAUCCCAUUACAAUCACAUUGUGCCAUAAAUCAUUCCUAUUUUGUCUUCAACUUAAGCGUCCAUAUCAUGUAGAUAUUCCAUGUCACCUACCACUUUCCCAUCUGUCAUAUUGGACUGAAUUAAUUACCCGAUUGUACCCUCUAAAUCAUACGUGGAAGUGUAAAAUAACACAAAAAAGAAAUUAAAUUGAUUUUAGAGUCUGUUUUGAUUAGAAUGUUGCACGUCUUGAAGUUCAUGUGCUUCAAAAUUUUAAUUUCAUGAAAGUGACAAAAAAGAGAGAUAGAAACCAAAAGGAAAAAUCAAGGAAGAAAGCAAUACCACCAUAUAAACAUGGUACUCAUUUUAUUAUAAUUACCACACCAUAUUUAAACACAAGGCGCCUAGUAUAAGGAUUUCCUCGAGGCUUCCCCACUUCACAGACGUAAAAUGGGAUCACAGAUGUCAUCCCGCCCUUAGUAGCCUCAGCAAAAGUUAAAGGAUAAAAAAAAAAAAAAAACAUUAGCACAAACUCUAGAUUACAAUAAUAUUAGAGCACCAUAAGCACCAGCUCCGGCCCAUAUGAUCAGUGGUGAUGGUGGGGUGGUCCGGGUUUGUGAGGCUCCGGAGGCCCGUGAGGCCCCGGAGGUCCGUGAGGCCCCGGAGGUCCGUGAGGCCCCGGAGGCCCGUGAGGCUCCGGAGGUCCGUGAGGCCCCGGAGGUCCGUGAGGCCCCGGAGGCCCGUGAGGCCCCGGAGGCCCGUGAGGCUCCGGAGGUCCGUGAGGCCCCGGGGGGCCAGGAGGUGGUGGAUGGGGCUGUGGGUGAGGGUGGCCGUGGGGACCUGGCGGUGGUGGGUUAUUCAUCUCUCUUCCUCUUUACCUUCCUUCUUGUUCUUCUUGUUCUUCUUGGUUGCUGCGGCGAAUGGUACGAGGGGCGCUUGCGAAUUUAUAGUGGCAAACGGUGGGUGGGAAUCUCUUCGCCCAUUGGUAAGUUCAAAACUACAAGUCAACAAUGUGGUAGCUGUGUCUACCUAGAAUUUAAUAGAAUCAUCCGGAUGAAACUGGUUUUCUAUUCUUUUGGCUUUUGUUUUUUCUUCAAUUUAAUGUUAUUUUGCUUUGAAUUUAGUCAAUUUACUAACAGAACCGUCCACGUACAAAUCCUAUCUCCUCGUCUUCCUCCCUCUGUUCGACACCUGUCUCUCCAUUUCUCAUGUCACAUCCCACUAUUGAUAAUGACAACCAAUAUAGAACAAAGACGUUGACCUAAAAUCAAUCCAGACAGGCUGGCCCAAGCCCAGAGUUGGGUUGGUUUUGGGCCGAACAUAGAGUCCACGCCAAGCCAGGUGAAGUUCCUUGAACUUUCGUUGGAACAAGCGUCGGUGAGCCCAUUACUUCGAUUCCUGGAUUAGAAUAAAGCGACUUAUCUUCAGUGAAAAAGGUCAAUCCAAUGACUACCAUACCUUUCCAGCUUCACAGCCAUUGCGAUCAGUUCCGCGUGGGAUGAAGUUACUUUGCCUCUAAUUAACAUUUAUAAAUUAAUAGUAACUUUUAAUAAAUUAAUUAAGAACAUUUGGAGUUUAACAUCAAAAUCACUAUAGUUUUCUUCCUUCCCAAGUAAAAGAAAAAAAAAAAGAAAAAAAAAAGGGCAAGAAGUGGCAAUGACAAGUAACAGCCCUUUCAAACAGGGAACAUGUUGGGAACCGACGUGGCACCCAAAUUGGGUGUCAAGGGCAAUGGGGCAUGAGGAUUUCAAACUAAACGUUUGGGUUUCAAAAUUGAAACGAUGGGCACUUGGGUGCCUCCAUUUUUAGGGCACCUGACACACGUGGCGCAUGAACCGGGCCUCAAAAAGUUCAAAAUGGCGUGGGCGAGGGGGGUCUGAACGAGGACAGCAGGCCCUAUUUUUGUUUUCCAGUAAUGCCCCCAAAAUUGUCUCAAAUAAUUGAGAGAUGAGUCGUGGAGAAAGAGAGAAAAGGGUCGCCCUCUGAAUUGGUUAUGUUGCCAUUAUCAUCAUUUCUCAUCUUCCCCUGAAACCAAACACACCGCUCCUUCUCUCUCCAUCUCUAAACAGGGGUCGCACUCCCAAAUCCCAUGGGCUCCAGCAGCAGUCGUCUGGGUUCGCGUUCUUCUCGGCCACGACUCAACCGCAGGCUCUCCUCUCUUAUCUGCGGUGGCUCCACUUCUCGAGCUCAGCCCGAGGUAUCAUCGCGAUUGUCUUUAUCAAGAAUAUUCAGUUUCGAACCCUAGAUUACCUAUUGCUUGUUUCUUUGUUAUUAUUUGCGGUGGUUUCUGUUCGAAUUUAUCGACUUCUUGUUAAAUCCGUCGAGUAAUUUCAAUUUCCAAUCAUGUGAUAUAUUUGUUUCUGUGUGAUAUGAAAAUUGGUUAAUCGAUGCACAAGAUCGGUCAAGUUUCGGGUCAAAUUUGGGAUUAAUUAUACGAUUUAUUGUCUCGAACUUUUAUACGUUUUAUAUAUAUUGCUUUUUGAAGGGUUGAAUUUAUGCAAUACUUAUUUUGUUGAGUCAUUUGAAUAAUUAAUCUUCCUGAUUAGAAGAUUUUUAUUUUAUUUUUCCGAUUUAUUUUGGGAUGUAGGUGUUUAGUUGUUCCAUUGGAAAUGAAUGAUUUGAGUCAUUUGACUAUUUUUAAAUGUCAGAUGGAGGUACUCAUCCAGUCACCAAGAAUGGGUUCUUUUAUUAUUAAUUUGUGGUGUCUAAAAUCAACGAAAGUAGUUAGUUUUAGGGUGUCACGAAAUGCUCCCAUUUUGAAGUUUUCCUAGAAUUUUUGUUUUCUGGGUUUGUUGAAUGAUCUAUAAUCUUUUUCCAGUAUUUAUUUUUUGGAAUAUUGAAAUCAAAUAUGAUAAUUCUGUUAUCAGUUUUUCUUGAAUAGUGGUUACCUUCUUUAAUUGAUCCAAAUUCUUGAGUUUUAAAUGGGACUUCUAGGUCUAUUUGAAUCUUGGAAAGAAUGAGAGAAAGGGAGGAAAAAAUUUGGAAAAGUAGCCUAAGAAAGGAAACCUUUUUCUAAAAUAUAUAUCCAUGAUUGUCCCUUUGUUUCCCUCAUUGUUUUCAAGAUUCAAAUGUCUGUCUUAAGGCUUUCUUUGGUUAUUGGGAGGAAAGAAUGAAGAAGAAAGUGCCAAAAAAAAUGCAAAGAAAGUCAUUUGUAAUCAUUUUCCUUUUGGUUUCCCUUUCCCUCAUUAUUUCUUAGAAACAAAUGGAAGGUAAGGGAAACUUGGGUUACUAAUUUAAUUAACUCUUGUACAAGUGGGCCAAGAUGAAGAUAUUUGUAAGAAGCUUUGAGUAAAGUAGACAAAAGAAACUAGACUGAUUUUAUUGUUUAUUGGACUCCAGAAUCAACCGUUUGAUCUCUGUGAAGUUUUGUUGGCGACCCAUUUUUGGAAGGAUACCUGGCAACUUCCUUUGGUUUCCAUGUGACAUGAUCCAAAAAGGGGAAAUAGAGAUGGACACCUGGCAACUCCCUUUGGUUUCCGCUUGACAUGAUCCUAAAACAGCAAAAAGAUUCACCAGGGGUUUCACUUGCCAAUUCCAGAUAGAUUGUUCGCAAAGUAGGCCCAUGCAGGGGGCUGCUGGACAUCUCAUCUGUAUAGUCACAUGCCUUGGUAACUCAGCAUCUUCCUUGACCACAGUACUGAAGCACCCUAUGAUUAAUUCAGGUUAGGAUGAAGCUUAUGCUAUGGCUCAUUGUACUCAAGUCCUGCAAAAUGGACUGAGGUUCUUUUAGUGUGCUAUCCAUGAACAUCAUAGUGCACGCAUGGGCUAGGCCUUGGGGGGAUUGUUAGGCGUAAGAUCUGGAGGCUGGAGUUAUGGACGUCCAUGGUGUAAGAUACUUUCCAAGUUGAGCCAUGUCGGAAUAAGUUAGAUUUACCCGUUAAAGCGUUUGUGCUCUCUGCAUCAAAGAUAAUUGCCGUGCAAGAACCAGGCAGCUUAUUAGAAUAGUGUGCAAGUCUAUUUCAUGUGAUUGGUUCGUAAAUCGGCUUCUGUGUCUCAUAUUAUCAUCCUCUUGUAUACUUUGGGAUGCUGUUUUGACGUAUUUUUAUAUAUAUAUAUAUAUAUAUAUAUAUACUUUCUGGUCUUACCUAUCAAAAAAAAAUCCAGUUGAGGCUUUUGAUUAAUGAUGAAUGCAGUUUGUGUGGUACUUUGGCCUGAUUCUUGCAGAUUAGCAGGAGUAGAUUGUUUAUUGAUGGUUUGAAAUUUGGCUUUUCCAUGUAAUCAUUCUGUUCUGUUUAACCUGUUUAUGGGGCUUUUGAAGCAAACAUUGAAAUACUUAUGUUAUUUUGUCCAUUUGGCUUAGCGGAUAGUAUUUCUAGAACAAGAGGAAUGAGGACAAAGUGAAUAUGCUAGUAUAUUUCAGCAAGUUUAGUCCGUGGAGGUUUUGGUUGGUGUCUAUUUUGUUAAUUAAGAUCACUUUGAUCAAGAGCCCAGACAAGCACUGGGAUCACAAGAAAGCUUGAAGAAAACCAUAAUAAUAGGCACCAAAAAAUGUGUGCAACAUGGGUAGAACUACUUUCCUUAUUUUCAGUCCAUUAUGCAUCUGGCAAAGAAGGCCCUUCAUUUAUUUUAAUUUUUCUUUUUUAAAAUGUAAUGAGAUGAAGUUGUUGAUUAUUUUCUAGUACGGAAAAUGGUUAAAUGGAUCAUCCAUACUGCUCAACUGUGUUGUCCAAUUCCAUGAAAGAAUCACAGGACUUGGAAGAAUCCCUUCCCCAUGAGUCGAAAGAGUGCUAAAAAGAGUUCAUAUUAGUUAAGCAGUAAUGCUCAAUGUUGCUUUGUAUUAUUUAUUUCUCUUUUAUUUUUGGUUGUGACCUGACCUAAUAUAUUUAUCAGAUUAUUUUCAUUUCUUGUGACGAAACAUAGUGGAUUGUCUCUAUGUUGGGACCUUCUUUCUUGGUCUGAUAAAAAAUGAAACUUUUAGAAUUGCCCUUUUGGUAUGGUAAUGCACUCACUCUUUGUAGGGCUUGGUGGUGUCAGUUUGAAGUCAAGGGUUUUUCUUAUGAAUUGACAUUCUUAUUCUAUGGCUAUGCACCAAAAAAGAAGAAAAAGUUACACUUAACUUCUGAAACAAAAAUAAAAUAAAAUCAAUAAAACUAUGGUACAUUAGGUUUUGUUGAUUUUCCUUUACAGGUGUGGACUUUUUUUUUUUUCCUUUUUUAAUGGUAAUGAAAUUUCUUUUCAGUCAUUAAUUACAGAAUCUUUUUGGGAAGCCUUUCAUAUCUAUGCUUCAAUAGAUGAAUUUCUGAGUAGACAAAAUUGCUAAAUUAACCAAUAAGCAAGCUGUUUCUUUCUUUCUUCUUCUCUUUCUUUUUCUUCUUUUUUAAUUUCACCAAGUUGCCUCCAUAAGUAGAUGUAAGAAAGAGUGUCUAUAGACCUUGGAUCUUGGUGUGGGUAUUGUGUUGAGCUCAUCAUUGAAGUAUUAGAUUUGUUACUUUCAAUUAGUUAAUUAAUAGAUUAAUUAAUUUCUUGUUUUUGAUCUUCAUUUUUAUUUGUUUGUUUCUGUUCUGUGUUAAUUAGUUCUUAUCCUAUAUUUGGGAUGAGUUCUUAUUUGAGAUGCUUGUGUUACAGAUUGAUCACCUUCUUUCAUCCUUUUGGUAAAACUUUGGUUGUAUCCACUGGCAGGCUCACUUCUUGAAGAAGUAACAGAAUCAUAAAUUUAUGGCUGCCAAACAUUUCAAUGCCAACAUAAUUUGUGCCUUUGAUAGGUAAAUAAGAGAUUGUAUUAGAAAUGCCUAGAAGCGGCGAAAAAUUUGGGCCUUUGACUGUGUUGGUAUGAAGAUGAAAAAUUAUUUAGUAAAAAAAUUUAUGUGGUCAAAGUUUUGAUGCUUAUAACUUGAUGAUCUUUCAUCUUCAAAGGUUGGAAGGAUAAGUUCUAUUGACCAGAUUUUUAUCUUUAUCUUUUAGUUCUAAUUUUAAUCUUUGAUAGGCAAGUCAUGCACUGUUGUCAAACAAAAAGUUCUGAACAAAAAAAAAAAAAAAAUCAGGCAUACAGGUCCUUCAGUUAACUGGAAUAAAUUUGAACCUGGCUUACUGUUCACUAUUGGGUGAAGUGUUUAUGAGUUUAAUGGCUCCCCAAAAUUUUUUUAUGGGGUCAUUACUCAGUCUUUAUACCUUGAACUUGGUGAUAUCAAAAGAGAGUGAUUGGAUUUUAGCAAAGGAAACUGACAUGAUGACAUUAUUUUCCUGAAGAUUGAAGAUAAUGAGUUUAAUGGCUCCCCAAAAAUUUGUAUAUGGGGUCAUUACUCGGUCUUUAUACCUUGAACUUGGUGAUAUCAAAAUAGAGUGAUUGAAUUUUAGCAAAAGAAACUGACAUGAUGACAUUAUUUUCCUGAAGAUUGAAGAUUGUCCAGCUGAAUUACUGGUGAAUGCUAUAGAACACAAUGAUCCUGUGACUGUCGAACAAAGCUCAACAAAGGCAUCCCAUUUGGCCUCCAGUGCUGGGACUGCAUUUACCAGCACCAGAACUGAAACAGGAACUUCAUCUGAGAGCAGUAGCGCAGCAAGGGAAGAUACUUCUUUUAUCAAUGAUUUAAGCAAUAUCGAAACAAGUAAUCGAGGGAAAUGCUUAUCUGAAAGUAAGGAAUUGAUUCCUCCUCAUCUGGUAAGUGAUGAACCUAGUCAAGUUGAUCCUUAUUGGGAGAGAAGUAGUAAUAUAGCUAGUGCUUCAUUUAAGGAUCUGCAUCCUUUGGACCCUGUCUCUGCAAAUGCAAGGGCUAACAUGGGUGCUGUAAAUGUUCAUAACUCAAUGGACAAGGAUAGGUCUAACAGUGGUGCAGGGGUCAUACAUUCAAGCAGUUCGCAUGCUCCAGAGCAUAGAGCUUCAUAUUCAGAUGGGGCAUCUGCUGAAAAUCAUGUGAGCGGAGUAUCAGCCAUUGAUAAUUCUAGUUCUGUUUCUGUUCCUGCUGUCACUGACUCACCAGUGACUUUGCACUCACAAGGAGAUGAAUCCAUUCAAGAGGCGAUACCUUCAGGUCUGGGAAUUGUGGUCUCCGAUCGGGCUGAUAGGGAGCGAGGUCGGAGAGAUGGAAGUGUACUUCAUGUUGAUGUGGUGAGCAUCUCUUCCAACAUUUUGUCUAGUACCACUGCUGAAGUAAGUAACCGUGAGGCAAGAAGGAAUAGUAGAAGACUGUUCUGGGAUGCCUUUUCAAGACGCAGUUCUCGAAGGCAUAGUGAUUCCCCAACCAUUGUCUUCUCAACAGAUGAUACUGAUGACCUAGGAUCUCAUGACAGAUGGCUCCUUGAUUUCAGUGGUGAUUUCUUUGAAGAUGGGGUUGGAGGUGACUCUGGCUACCUGGGUAGUAGAAUCCACAGCAUGAAUGAGCGAAGGUGGCACUCAAGAUCGGAGGUGGUUUUUUAUACUAUGAAGCAGCUCUUUUAUCAACACUUUCAAUAGUUUUCUUUUGAAAUCAUCUUGCAUCUCAUAAUCAGAAUUAUGUGGAAUUUUGUUGUAUGCAUGCUUUGUGAAAAAAUGUGCAGUUCAUUUCAUUUUGACUUCCUUAGUUAUAUGCACAUUACCAAUGUGAAUAGGCGCUAUUUCCCAUUGUGAUUAUAUUUCAAUUUUGGUUUAAUUUUCUUCAUAUUCUUUUUGAUUGUCCACCUAGGUAUUCUAGUGUGGGCAGUGGAAGCUAUAUCUGGAGGGGUUUAACUUUCUUUUCUUGCUCUUGGGUAAUUUUUAUAAACUCAUCCCACAAGAAUCUUUGCAGAUAUGGGAAAGGCUUCGUGGUGGGCUUGAUGAGAGUAGUCGGCGAACUACUACUUGUCCAACAGGCCUCCACCCUGAUGGUAUGUGCUCCUGCGAUUCCUUCUUGAUGGCUGAAGAAUCUAGCACUCGAGCAAGCAUCUCCCGAAUAGUCAUGCUAGCUGAAGCCUUAUUUGAGGUAGUUUUCUCUUAACCUGGCAUGGUUUUAUAUGGUUUCUCUCACUUUUGUUGUGCUCCUUUUUCUUGGCUAGUUUUCCUUUCAGUAUUUGUUUAAUUACUAACUUUUAUAUUAAACAUAAUGUUUCUUUUUUGUUAAGCUAUUUUUUUUUGUACUCCCUGUAAAUGAACUUUGUCCCUGGUAAUAGUCCUAGUGACUUUUACUUCAGUAUCAAUAUAAAAAGUUAAAAAAAGCAUUGAAGAUAUCAGCAUGAGAGUUAGCUUGGGAAUGAUCCUUUACUUUUUUGUUAUAUUUAGCCUUGAUUAGGAUAGAAUCUGCAUGUCUUUGAAAGGCUGCCCUUUGGUUUUUUUAGAUAAUUGAUUUCAGCACCUUAUCUAUUGUCUCCAUUUGUGUUACUGUGUUUUGACCCAUUGUUGAAGAAGCGUGCAACGAGUUGACUGUAGCCAUUAGUUUGGUGCUAGCAUUUUCUUGCCAGAAUUACUGAUUUGGGGACUUAGGUUUAUACUUUUAUACUGGAUCUUGUAGGAACUUUUAUCAGGCUGUGCAGAAUCAUUAGGCUGUGUGCAAUAUGCAACAUUUGAAGUUCUAUAUAUGGUUAUCUGACGAUUAUUUCAAAACAGAUAGUGGAUUAAUCCAGUACUGGUACUCCAUUUUUUAUUGAAAAACUGGGAUUUCCACCAGAAUGGAAUUAAUUACAUUGUAUUGGAUUUCUUUUAUCUCUUUCUGCUACUUGCGUAUGUCUUGGGUUAUCACUUUCUUGUUUUAGCCUAUUGAGUUUGAUAUAGUACAGGCAAGUAGACCUAAUCAACUGGAUGUCAAUGAAACCUGCCUUGACUAUAACUGAGGUUUUUUUUUUUUUUUUGGGUGGUUUAGCUUUAGGCUUCAUAGUUAGGUGAUAUUUCCAUUGCUGCAUUUGUGAUUGCUUGCUCUUCUAGAAUAUAGGCAAGGUUUUUCAUUGAAACACUCCUUAAAUGCUUGGUGAAUUUACCACUGAAAUGAGUAGUAACAUAUGCAUGGAGAGGAUAAACUGAUUUCUCUUGGCCGUGGUAUAUGACUGGCUCUCAUUGAAAUGUUUAGAAUACUGGUGAGCUAACAGAUGGGAGCAUUGACUGAUGUUAGAUAUUUCUUGAUUGCAGAGGCUAUUUUGACAUUUUGUUAUGAGCAUGGAAAAGAAAGUUUCCUCCUCAAUCUAUUUGAAGUUAAAUUGCUGUUUUGGAUGUGCUGACCUGAAUUCUAUUUAUUUACCCUUUAUAAGAAAUACAGUUUCCAAUUGCUUUUUUAUCAUGUAUAUCUGCAAUAUUACGUUUGAUUUUUUGUUGAUGGAAGUUGUAAGAAUUUUUUUUGGUUCCUCCUGAUUUUCUCUGCCAUGAUAAUGAUGAAAUUAGGUUUACUACAUUCUUGUAGGCUGUCUCAAAGGAGAAUUUUUCAUUAUCUUAAGUAUUAUGUUUGAUAAAAAAUCUUAAGGCAGAGUUUGGCUCCUUAAAGCUGGGUAAUGAGGUAUAUUUUAAAUUUUUGAUAUGCAGGUCUUGGAUGAAAUUCACCGCCAACCUGUCUCACUGGCACUGUCUAUGGUAUCACUCCCUGCCCCAGAGUCGGUUGUUGACUCUUUUCCUCUCAAGAAUCACAAAAAGGCCGACACAGCUCAGAGUGGGGAGGAUGUGGCACAGUAAGUUUCUAAUUAUAUUUUGUACUAGGACAAGCAGAAUAUGAUUGAAAUAAGAUGAUAUUGAUGAAAUAAUGCUUGAAAAUUAUUCUUUCAAUUCUUUAUUUCCAAAAAAAAAAAAAAUGAAAGAAAGAAAAAGGAUUCUUGAGUUUAUAUAUCUUUGGCAUGAAAACCAUUUUGUUAUUGUUGCUAUUAUUUGAUAAGUGAAAUAUUUUGACAAAACAUGGAAAGCUAAUAAUUUACAGUUCAUUACUUUGUAUUUGAUUGUGAGUAACAAUACAUCCCUCAAUUAUAGAAUUUCAUGAUAUUACCACCUUAAUGUAACUGUCAUUGACAGGUGCUACAUUUGUCUGGCUGAGUAUGAGGAAGGUGAUAAAAUUAGAGUUCUUCCCUGCCACCAUGAGUAUCAUAUGUCAUGUGUUGAUAAAUGGCUCAAAGAAAUACAUGGGUAUUGUCAUUCCUGUCCAGUGCUCACUUGCCUUGCAUUUGUCCUUUUUUUUUUUCCUCUUCAAAUUUUACUAAUUAGGUUUUGCUUCACAGGGUGUGCCCACUAUGCCGCGGAGAUGUUCGUGAGGGCCUUACUGGUGGUUCUGUCUCAAACGGAGAGACCCCCUCUCUUUGAUAGCAUUGUACAUAUCCAUGUAAAUAGGGGCAAUGUGCUCUUUAAAUGUUGUAUUUACCUCCCUCAAAAGAUAUUUUUGUAUCUGAAUUUUAACCGUAUAUUUUCAAAAUUCCAUACUUGGUAGGAUCUUUGCCAUGUUUUGAUUCUGCAGAAUUAGCUUCCAAGGGAUCAACAGCCUUGGUCUCACCAAAACAUGCAUUGAUCUUAAUCACACAAGACUCACAGAAGUAAGAAACUGAGAACUAGGGUACCGGCAUGUUUAAAUUCUGAAUAUUAUUAAAUCGUCAAGCCAUUCAUCACAUUGAGAUGGUUUAUUCCUGCUAAAUGUGAAUGGCAUGAUUACUUUAAAUAGUCUCUUGACGUUAGGAUGGCAUCCCACACCUCAUGAACCUGAUUAAUUUAUGGUCAUUCUACAUUCCUAUUUGCUUUUCUGGUUCUUUUAGAGAUCAUGUGCCACUAGACUUAAGGUUACAGUGAGAGGUUUACAUGGCAGGAAAUGGGUGAUUGUUUGUUUGUUGGCGCACAUUGAGGGUGUGUUUGAUAUGCUGAACAAGAAGUUCAUUCUAUUCUUAUAUUGUUUGAAUGCAUAUGGGAAUGAAAUGUUGAAAUGAUAAUUUGUUUUCAUUAUUUAAAUGUUAAGUGAAAAGGGGAAUGAAAAUGAAAAAAAAAAUAUCAAUAAUAUCUAAACAUUUGGUUUAAAAUAAUUUUUAAUUUUUAAUUAAAAAAAUAUGAUAUUAUUAUAUAUGGUUAAAAUCAAUUCUUAUUUUCAUUUUAAAAAAAUCCUUGAGUGUGCGUGGGUGUUUUUUUCCCUAAAUGAUAAGAAUCUAUUGGGGCAUAUGAUUUAAAAAUAAAAUUAUUUUUAAAAAUUUAUAUUAUUAUUUGAUUGUUAUUUUUUAGAAAUAAUUUUUAAAAACAAAGUAAAAGAGAGAAUUGUUUCAUUUUUUUUUUCACUAAAGAAAAUGACCAUAAGUUUAAUAAAUUUAAUAAUUUUUAAAAAUAAUUUAAAACUAAAUAUAUAUAAUUGAUUAAUAAUGAAAAAAAUUAAAUUUAGUUUAUUUUUAUUUAAAAAAUAAAAUUAUUCUUUACUAAUUUUGAAUAAUUUUCUGUUAGCAAUUAUUAAUUUUAAAUUAUUAAUAUUCAUAUUUUAAUUUAUUUGUAACAAAAAAAUAUUUUCUAUUUUUAAUAAAAUUUGAAUUAAAUUUAGUUUACAUUAUAUAAAUUAAAUUUAAAUUUUAUGUUACAAAAUCAAAAUAAAAAAUUAUUUUUAAAAAUAACUCAUUUAAAAGAGUUCUUAAUUUUUAAAUUUAUGAAUAUAUUUUAAAAAUAACUUGCACAUGGAGAAUCAAAAUAAAAUACCUCCUACUCUAUUUUAUUUAGAAAAAAGAAUAAGACGUACAUUCCCACGAUGGUCGUUUCCCUACCAAACACACCCCGAAGUCUCACUGCACAUUCUGAGGGAAACAACCGGGAAUAGAACGGUCCAUCUACAAAUGUAAUAGGUGGAAUUCUACAUAAGUCGAAGAACAGAGUUCUUCAUUGUU